UGCCCACAUAGGUCAGUGGAUUAUCAUCGCCACGAGCAUAGAAGCUGUCUGGCAUGGAAACGAUUUCGAUACCAUUAACGAAGGCAAAAGAUGCUGGAGACGGAUGAAGGUUAAUUCAAGCUUCUGGUUGUCCCACACGGUGAUGAUGAACUCUUUGGUGAAGUAGUCAACUGGAGGUCUUAUAGCAGAAACUGUAAGAGAGGCACUAAAGUUGUUUAGUAGCUUGUAGUUGUUGGCACUAAGCGAAAAAUAGGAUUUGGAUAUGUCAAGAUUUGAGUAAGAAGCUGGAUAAAAGUAGAGACGCACAAAUUUUGGGCCAGGCAAGACUGGAAAUGUGUAAGUGAAUUAGAGUGAAAAAUACGGGCUGUCAUGUAUGGGACUUGGUCGACAGAGGGGUCUUGAGUGGAGGCUUCAAACACAGAUGAGGCUUCUGGGGGGUUAGAGGCAGCAAACUUAGACUGGGAAUCACCAUCCCAGCUGCGACCAUCUGGAGAUGACAAAUUAGAGGAUGCACCACAGUUAAGGAGUAUUAGAUCAGUGGGUCUGUAUGGCAGCAAGUAAUCUUCAGUAGCAGUAGCAUAGAGGAAGAGAUGGAGGGGAGGGAGAAGGUAGAGAAAGAUGAAGAUGGACAUUACUAUGCUAGUUCUUUGGUGGAGUAAAUUGGAGUAAGAAAAAAUAUCUAUUAAAUGCAAAGAUUUUGAUUUAAGGGAAGAUGAUCAAUGGUGUCGCUGUCUCCAUACAGUAACAUUUUUGCUCAGGUUGAGAAUAAUCCAAUAAUAUAUUUGAGGCCCGUCGGAGAAGAAAAUUCGACGAUAUGGCUAAUGGGACAUAUUGGUCAGCUUUGGAUGGCUGCUUCCCGUUGUGUGGUUCUGAAUUCCGCAAUAAAGCCGCAAUGAACAAUCUAAUUUCAACAAAGGAUCGGAGUUGAGUGGAUGUGAUCCUCCUCCAUGUGUUGUAUUCUUUCUCUAUCUCUAAAUAAAAUGAACCUCUCCCGUGAAUGUAGGCGGUUUUGCCGAACCGCGUUAAAUAUUGUGCCAGUGUGCUUGCCCUCCGUUGAGCAAAUAUCAAUACAUCACCGGUCGGAUUUCCCAACAAUUGGUAUCAGAGCUGAUGGUUUAAAGUGGUGUUUGAUUUUUGCUCAAAAAAUGAAAGUUGUCAAAAUUGUGUUUUGACCAAACCACCGUGUAGAGGAGGAAGAGACGAAGCCACUGUUGAAAAAUGUGUUGAAAUCGGACGUCGGACAUGGCUGCGCGUGCCGUCACGCAUCGGCGGGGUGGCUGGCCACGUGCGCAGCAGCGCGCCUCGUCACACGUGUCUUCUUCGCCUGGAUGGGUUGACCCGACCCGAAUACCAGACGACCAGACCCACGUGGCUGACCCGGAUAAGGAUGACAUCAGCAUGACAUAAUUAUGAUGUCAUCAUGCACAGUAGCAUGGCCCAGGAUGACAUCAACAUGAUGUAAUGGUGGCGUCAUCAUGCACAGUCAGCAUGCCAUGUCAGCACAGUGAGCCGAGCCGAAUUGGAGCUGAGCCAAGCCACGAGCCGAGGGAUAGGAUUAUGUGUAGCUGAGUCUACGUGCAAUCGGAUCUGAGAUUGAAUGUGAGCCGUUGAUCAAGCCAGAAUUGUUUUGAUCAAAGCUUAGUCGUCUGAAGUGUGAUUUGGAUGAUUCAAGACAUGUUUCCAGCUAAUUUGAACAUUCCGGAUGCAAUGGUACGGUCCGAUCGUUGAGAUAUGAGACCGAAAAUGACGGUGGUGAAUUAUUAAAGAGAGAUUGCCCGAUCAGGAGGCAUCUGAGGGUCUUGAUGGAGGUCGAUGGAGAUGAUGAAGAAGAAGGUGCACAUGUUUUCCCAAUUACAUGUGCUGAACUAUUAAAUGGGAAAAUGUAAUGCCUUGAUGGAAGGCAAAAUUGGGACACUCUGGACACCCGGUUAUGUGGACAAUUGAGGUGGAGAGUGAAAAUUGACGAAGACCAAUCUUGACGAAUCUAAGCACUGUAGUCUCGCAGAUGUUGAGAAAUCAGGUAUAAAACCUGAUACCAGAUCACUUGUAAAGGAAAGCCGCAACAAAGCUAGCAAAUGGUUGUAUAUACGGAAAGACAGUACGAUGGAUAGAUAUGGCCUAAGAAGUUCUGUCUAGGAGAUUGGGUUUUAAGGGACCGUGUGACCCCUCCAAUCUUUCCUGGGAACUUGCUUAGUGGAAGGAUUAUCCAUACGGUACUAUUUUCGUAUAUGUAACAGUUUGUAAUGAAAUUGUUGAAGACUAGCAGGAUGACGGCACAAGGGGAACAGUUGGGUUCCGUAUGAUCAAGGAUCUGAUGGAGUGGUGAUUUCUUCAAAGAAGCUAGUUUCGGUGACUGUGAUUUCUCGAGGGAAGAAUUGAUGAAGACGCUGAUAAUGGAAGAGAAAUAUAGCAAGGGGAUAAAGAUUGACACCCUAUUUUGAAUUGGACAAGUGUUGUGUCAAGAUGAGCUGCUGUCAAACAUAAGCAAGGAAUAGGGAGAAAUCUAGAGAACAGAAAUUGCACGAGAGCACACGGAGAUUGUGCAGGAGUACCCGUAGGAUCCAACAAGGUACUGUAAUGAGACAACAGGUACAAGGAGAAGAAGAGUUCCCAGAUGAAGCUAAAAGCAGAGACUGUGUAUAAUAGGAAGUCUCUUAUGCUCUUGAUGAAGACAACAGGCGAAGACCUUUCCAAUGCAUGCAAGGAUGGAAAGAUGAGUUGUUGUAGAGGCACCUAAUUGAGGGGAUGCAAACGCCUGUGAUAAAAGGCAACGGUUUAUGAAAGGCAAAGACACCAAAGAGAGUUGGUGUAGGUGGAGCUGUUAAGCGCAAUGAUGAAAGGCGUAGAAGCUCCAAACAUAGAAAUCGAGGUGGAGGAUUGGGAGGAGUAUACCGCAAGUUUCUCUUUCUAUGUAGUUAGUGGCAGUAAUCUCUCUCAAGUCCACAUGGUGGUAGAGAAUUUUGGAGCCACUUUGAAGCAUCUCAGCUGAAGGAGGAUGCGACCGCCUAUGAAAAGGCGAAGACACCUUAGAGAGAAGGUGUGGGCCAUGUAAGCCCAAGAUCAGACGCCCAUGACAACGGGCGAAGACACCUUAGAUAAGGUGUGUGGGCCAUGAUAGGAGCCCCAGAUUCAGAUCGCCCCAUGACAACGGGCGAAGACACCUAAGAUAAGGUGUGAGGGCCGUGAUAGGAGCCCCAGUUCAGACCGCCCCAUGACAACCGGCGAAGACACCUUAGAGAAGGUGUGAGGGCCAUGAGAGGAGCCCCAGUUCAGACCGCCUUAUGACAACAGGCAAAGACACCUUAAAAAAGGUGUGAGGGCCGUGAUAGGAGCCCCAUUUCAGACCGCCGCAUGACGACAAGUGGAGACACCCAAGGAGAAGGUGUGUGGGCCACGAUAUGAGCCUAGUUCAGAACGCCCCAGAGCCAAUGUGAUGGCUAGAUAUGAGUGGACAGGUGUAUAGCCAAUGAAGUGGCUAUGAUGAGUAUGGAGACAAAUGCAGGAUUGACUUCAUGGAUAUUGCCCCCAUGCUAAAGAUCAAUGAGCUAGAAGACAUUUGCCUUGGACAAUAAGUGGAUGACUUAUGGAGCAUUAAGACGCGACUGCUAUGAAGGAGUAGAGGGCAUGUGCAGGUUCCUGGAACAAGUUGACUCUUGUCAAAGUGGUGAGCUCGGUGUAGACAUUGUAAUACUCACAGUAUCAAGACAGAUAUGGAUCAACCUUUAAUGGGUUGCCCCCAUAGGUAAAGGUGGAAAGCUACCUGGACUCUUGAGACUAAGAGUGAGAGACUCAUGGAGAAGUAAGGCGUUGUUUCUAGGGUGGAACAGAGGGCAGCGCAACUCCUGGAUGAGUAGACUCUUGGAAGAGUGGUGAGCUCGUGAUCAUAUUGAGAUACUCAGAUAAUGACUGUCGCACUUGGAAAUAUCCGUUUGAGGGGGUGUUCUAAGCCUUGGUGUGAGGCUUGAUAAAUCAUUCAGGACCGAGCAUGGUUGAUACACUCGAAGGGGAAUGAUGUGUCCCAGAGACAAGCGUUAACACUCUUCAGAUGUGAUGUGGGAGACCAUCUGGUUGCAGUGAUCCUUUUGUGUGAGAAAAGGUGUGCUUUGGUGACUCUGGUGAUUGAAAGGUUUGGCGAGUACCUGUAAACUUGGCCACAGACGCUCUCGGAAUGGUAAGCUUGGAAGAGCUGCAGGAUGCAAGAUUGUGCUGAAGAAGCAAGAGGACAAUUGCCCAUAUAAAUGUCAAAGGGGGUGAUUGUUGGGAUAUUGUCAUUAUUGGGCAACAUGUGCAGCCUACCCUAUAAAGAGUAGGGUUACCAUUUGUCAAUGGUAGUUGCACCCACCAUUGAUAAAUGUAUCAACCCAUGUGCAACUAUUGUUGUUGAAGAAGAACAGCCACCAUCCUUGCCUAUAAAUAGACAGCAAGAGAGCAGAACAAUUGAGAGAGGGAUUGUGAGAAUGUAGAGAGUGUGAAGAGAGAAAGAAAGAGAAGGGCUGCCACCAGCAGCCCUGCUGCCUUAUGCAGCUACUGCCCUAUGCAACAAUGAGAGAUGGGAGUUGACUGGAUGUGAUCCUUCUCCAUGUGUUGUAUUCUUUCUCUAUCUCUAAAUAAAAUGAACCUCUCCCGUGGAUGUAGGCGAUUUUGCCGAAUCAUGUUAAAUAUUGUGUUAGUGUGCUUGCCUUCCGUUGAGCAAAGAUCAGUACAUCACCGGUCGGAUUUCCCAACAGUUAUACUCAUCGAAAACAUGAGUAAAAAAAAAAAAGAAGGGUUCAGACAGUUGCACCCACCAAAGGUUGAGAUGAAAUAAAAAGAGGCAGGAAUUGAAUUCAAAGGUAUUUUUGCUGUAAACAAUUCCAAUCCUUUGUAUGAUUUUUUAGGGAGAAUCUCACUUAUUGAAGAAAAAUAUUGCCAUCAAUUGUUUGACAACUAAGUUGGAAAAUUCUUUGGAAAUGUUUUGAGAAAAUCUUUCAAGGUGCAGGGGUUUUGAUUCAUCUCUUGAAAGGUUAAAACCUUUUGAAUUUUUAUUUUUGAAAAAACAACAUUGUUUACAUCUUGAUUAUGAGUUAUUUCAACAAAGUCAAUAUCAACCAAAAUAAACUCAUAGAAUUUGUUUUGUUUUCAACAUAUUUUCUAAAAUAACUUAUGAAAAUAAUAGCUUCUUGACUUGAAAGGGUUAAAGCUUUUUUUAGGGAAAAUUUGGAGGGUAAUUAACACAAGUGAAAGAACAAGCAAUGGGACAAUAGCGAGAAAAAGAAAAUUAAUAGUUGAAAUAGAGUAGAGCACAAGAAUUCUAAUUUAUAGUUUUAUUGAUGAAGAGAAAAAUUCACUAUUUCUUUUGCCUCUUUAAGAUGUUUUCAACUUUUUAAAUAAUCUAAAAAAUCAAACUAAUCAAACAAGAAAACCCUAAAAUAAAGAUAAAAAAUAUUAAAAUUCCUAAACAAACUUAGAGAAAUAAAAUUACUAUUCUCAAUAUUUAAUUUCCUAAACUAAGUAGAAAAAAUAAAAUCACCGAAAAUAUUUUCCUAAACUACAUAGAAAAUAAUAAUAACUAAGAAAUUUUAAUUUCAUAAAAACCCUUGGCAUCAACAAUAAUGUUGUAAAAGGUGUAUUAAUUUUGGGAUUGAACAAACUAGGGAUUUUGGAGAGAUUAAGAAUAAUUUAUAGGUGAGGUGUUUGGACUAGAUCAUGCUGAUGAAAGGAUUCAAAAUUGAUUAUUUAAGAUACUAGCCUGAAGAAGGUCAAACCCUCCUUGAAAUAAAUAUCUUGAACGCUUGAUGUUGUGGCUUGAAUUGGUCUUGAUGGUGUAAGAGCAUAUGAUUAUUUUGACUUAUUUUGAGCCUAGUAAAGACUCUUUGGAUAAAAGACUCUUUGGAUAAAAGACUCUUUGGAUAAAAGACUCUUUUACUUCUUUCAUUAAUUCAAUCUCGAAAUCAUAUUUUAAUAGAUUAUCUUGUUACCUGGCAAAAAUUUGUUUUGACACAAUAUUUUGAAUAUUUUUUUCAACAACUUAUUUUACAUAUUGACAAUUUAUUUGUAAAAGAAAUUUCUGGAAAAUAAAUCAUCUUGAAAAUAUUAGAUGUAUAAAAUAAUUAAUAAAAUUUUAUUUUUGAUAGUUGAAUAAUUUUCUUGAGGAUCCAACCAAAUACCUAAAUGAUAUUGCAAUAUAUGUUAUUGACUUUGAAAAUUUUGUUUGAGAAUACCACUAUAACUAAUAUCAAAGGCAUCGGUUUCAACUAUAAAAAAGGCCUCUAGAUCAUAAAGUCUUGAACAUGAAAACUCUUGACUUGACUUUUAAGAGUAUUCACAAUUUUGAUCAUUUGAUGAUUGAUUUUAGACAGGAGGGUUUUUCUUAAGUCUUUUGUACAAAGGUUGACAUAUAGUUCUAUGAUUUGGAAAAAUAUCUAAAACAUAAUCGAGGCAUCCCAUAAACUUUUAAAGCUAGGUUUUACCCUUGAUCUUAUUUAUGAAUUUAAUGGUAAAUUUUAUUAUAGUGACAAGGGUUAUUGAUAAAUUAUAAUUUUUAAGGUUGAGAAAACUAAUCUAUUUUGUUUGAUAAUAUUAAGAAACAUUUGUAAGUUGUUCAAAUGUUUGGUUAUUAGUUUUAAAAAUAAAAGAACAUCAUCUAUGUAUAUAAUCAUAAUUUUGAAUAUAGAUUAAAGAUGUCAUUCAUGAUGCUCUGAAGUUUUGAAGGAGUAAUUUUUAGUUCAAAAGACAUUAUAUCUCAUUUGUAAUGACCAAAUAAAAUAAUGAAUGUUGUUUUAUAAUGAUUUUUUUAAUCAAUUUAGACUUGUUAGAAUCUUGAUUUCAUAUCAAUUUUUGAAUAUAUUGAAGAAUUUUAAAGUCUUCUGAUAAGAUCUCUCUUAUUGUGUAUUGGAUAUCUAAUAUAUUGGAGCACUUUGUUGAGAGGCUUGUGAUUUAUGACAUGUCUUAGUGCAUGAUUAGUACUUAAAAGUGUAUUUUAUCAAUGUUUUAUAUUAUCAUUUUGUACUUGAAGUAUCAAUAACUCCUUAACUAGAGCAUGUUUUAUAAUAACAAGUCUGAUAAUAUAAGAUAACUUUAAUUUAUGGUAAAUGCUCAUUUUAAAUACAGACAUAUCUCACAAUCCAAAGGAUUGAUUGCUGUGAUUAACUAUUGAAAGUGAAAAGACAAAGAAAAGGCUAAGCUUAGAAAGGAGAUGCAGAUUCAAUUCAAAUUGGAACACUGUUAAGUUAUUGGGUCAUAUCUGGAGCUACAGUUCUUGGAUUUCAGUUUGGUUUAUAUGGCUAGAAAGAUAAGAAAUAGGCUUACAAUGUUCAUGAAUAGUGAAAGACCCAAAUCUUCCGUUUUCAAAUUCAAAGUUUGGCCACAAAAGAGAAGUUAGAAUCUGUCCUACAAUCCAGCCCAAACACUGCUCAUACUUUUACCCAUAGCUGGAGUUUUAAAAGGAAAAAUGAUGUCAAAUUUGGUGGGUGGAAGGAUAAGACAAUUUUCAAAAACUUUCAUGCAGACGACCUGCUCCAAUUAUGAUGUUAGAAAUGACAUUUCAUCCAGACAAGAGCUUGAGGGAUGUCCACUACGUCCACCAGAAGCACUACUCAGUAUUUUAGCCAUAUCUCAAUCUCUAGUGAUCCAAAUGCUCUAAAAUUUUAUGGAUGGAAAGAGGAGAUGAUUGCAGACAACUUUUAUGAAGAACACUUUGCCAAAUGUUGAUUGAAUCAAUGUCAUUUCAUCCAGCCAACAUGCUUAAGUGUUGUUGUCCACCAAGUCCACUAAAUCAAUAGUUGGCCACUACAUCAAUAAUCAAUUACCAAAUGAAUAGUUCUGAAUUUUAGCCUAUAAAAGGAGACAAUUGCAAUUCAUUUAGGCAUCUUGGUUUUUAGAUCAAGAUCAUGUUCUUGCUCUCUCUUUAUAUUUUUGUAAUGCUUAAGUUUUGCUUUCAUUAAUCUCUUGUUUAUGCUUUUCAUUUUCUUUACUAUACUUAGUUAACUUAUAUCAUGUUUAUGUUCAUAUAUUGUUUAUUUAUGUUUUUCCUUUUCAUAAUGUCGAGCUAAGUUAAUUAUGUCAAGGUGAAAAGGUUUCACUAAUGGUGUUAGAAUAUGUAUAAUAUAAACUCAAUAUGGACUUCAAUGUUUAUAUCCAAGAAAGUUUGUUAUUAAUAUGUCAUAUCUUUUUAUCUUAUUAAUUCUUAAUACCUUGCUUGUUAAAUGGUUAAUCUAGAUUUGUGUUGUAUAACACUUGGUAAAUCAAAUGCUUGAUCCUUCAUAGUCUUCGGUCAACAUCAUUGUUAUGAGAUUAGCAUCAUGAAUUCCUGAUAAUAUUUAAAAGUAUGGUGUUACUAAAAUAAGAUAAUUAAUAUGAUCAUGUUAAAAAUUUAUAAUUAACUUUUACGGAUAAAUCAUCCUAUUGGAACCUCCUUUGUGUGUGGUUUCCAAUUGAGUAAUACAAAGAGUUUAUACUAUACUUAUUUCUAAUACCAUUAGUGGACCCUCUAACCUUGACAUUUGUUUGUAUUAUUGUUUAAUCCUCACAUUAAUCUUAUAUCUCAAAGAUCUCUUUAUAUAUAUAUAUAUAUAUAUAGUUAACUUUCCUGUGGAUCGACCCCGGUCUUGCUGAGUUAUUUAUAACUUUGACACUCCUUCACUUGAGAGAAGACAUCAAUCUUUUGGUCAUGUCAGUGCACUUCUUUCUAUUUCAGCUUGAUUCCAGACAUAAAAAGGUGGCACAUAACCAUGAUGAUUUACUAGGGCUUAUAAGACACUUUUUGAUUAAUUUAAGGUAAUUUCCAAUUAUCAUUGUACGUGACUUUAUCUCAUUAUCAAAGUUUAGGAACUUAAAUGUUUGAAUUUUGAGAGUUAGCUUUAAUAAGGAGAGUUUAAUUUAUAGAUGAAUUUUUGAGAGCUUUUGGAGCUAUGUUUGUAUCCAUGAUUUUGUAAUAUAUUCUAUAGAUGAUGACUAUAUUCAUGGAAUCUUGAAGCAUAUCAGUACAAGUCUUAACAAGUCUCAAUAUUUAGAGCUAAAGUUUUCACUGUAAGGACCAAAUGAAAUAAUGAAUGUUGUUUUAUAAUGAUUUUUUUUUUAUCAAUUUAAACUUGUUAGAAUCUUGAUUUCAUAUCAAUUUUUGAAUAUAUUGAAGUAUUUUAAAGUCUUCUGAUAAGAUCUCUAUUAUUAUGUAAUGGAUAUCUAAUAUAUUGGAGCACUUUGUUGAGAGGCUUGUGAUUUAUGACAUGUCUUAGUGCAUGAUUAGUACUUAAAAGUGUAUUUUAUCAAUGUUUUAUAUUAUCAUUUUGCACUUGAAGUAUCAAUAACUCCUUAACUAGAGCAUGUUUUAUAAUAACAAGUCUGAUAAUAUAAGAUAGCUUUAAUUUAUGGUAAAUGUUCAUUUUAAAUGCAGGCAUAUCUCACAAUUCAAAGGAUUGAUUGUUGUGAUUAACUAUUGAAACUGAAAGGACAAAGAAAAGGCUAAGCUUAGAAAGGAGAUGCGGAUUCAAUUCAAAUUGGAACACUGUUAAGUUAUUGGGUCAUAUGUGGAGCUAUAGUUCUUGGAUUUCAGUUUGGUUUAUAUGGCUAGAAAGAUAAGAAAUAGGCCUACAAUGUUCAUGAAUAGUGAAAGACCCAAAUCUUCCGUUUUCAAAUUCAAAGUUUGGCCAAAAAGAGAAGUCAAAAUCUGUCCUACAAUCCAGCCCAAACACUGCUCAUACUUUUACCCAUAGCUGGAGUUUUAAAAGGAAAAAUGAUGUCAAAUUUGGUGGGUGGAAGGAUAAGACAAUUUCCAACAACUUUCAUGAAGACGACCUGCUCCAAUUAUGAUGUUAAAAAUGACAUUUCAUCCAGACAAGAGCUUGAGGGUUGUCCACUACGUCCACUAGAAGCAUUACUCAGUAUUUUAGCCAUAUCUUUUUAUGGGUGGAAAGAGGAGAUGAUUGCAGACAACUUUUAUGAAGAACACUUUGCCAAAUACUGAUUGAAUUAAUGUCAUUUCAUCCAGCCAAAAUGCUUAAGUGUUGUUGUCCACCAAGUCCACUAAAUCAAUAGUUGGCCACUACAUCAAUAAUCAAUUACCAAAUGAAUAGUUCCAAAUUUUAGCUUAUAAAAGGAGGCAAUUGCCAUUCAUUUAGGCAUCUUGGUUCUUAGAUCAAUAUCAUAUUCUUGCUCUCUCUUUAUAUUUUUGUAAUGCUUAAGUUUUGCUUUCAUUAAUCUUUUGUUUAUGCUUUUCAUUUUCUUUACUAUACUUAGUUAACUUAUAUCAUGUUUAUGUUCAUAUAUUGUUUAUUUAUAUUUUUCUUUUUCAUAAUGUCGAGCUAAGUUAAUUAUAUCAAGGUGAAAAAAUUUCACUAAUGGUGUUAGAAUAUGUAUAAUAUAAACUCAAUAUGGACUUCAAUGUUUCUAUCCAAUAAAGUUUGUUAUUAAUAUGUCUUAUCUUUUUAUCUUAUUAAUUCUUAAUACCUUGCUUGUUAAAUGGUUAAUCUAGAUUUGUGUUGUAUAACACUUGAUAAAUCAAAUGCUUGAUCCUUUAUAGUCUUCAGUUAACAUCAUUGUUAUGAGAGGAACUUGAUUUGUUGUUAACAUAAGUUAGCAUUAUGAAUUCCUGAUAAUAUUUAAAAAUAUGGUGUUACUAAAAUAAGAUAAUUAAUAUGAUCAUGUUAAAAAUUUAUAAUUAACUUUUAAGGAUAAAUCAUCCUAUUGGAACCUCUUUUGUGUGUGGUUCCCAAUUGAAUAAUAAAAAGAGUUUAUACUAUACUUAUUUCUAAUACCAUUAGUGGACCCUCUAACCUUGACAUCUGUUUGUAUUAUUAUUUAAUCCUCACAUUAAUCUCAUAUCUCAAAGAUCUCUUUUAUAUAUAUAUAUAGUUAAUCUUCUUGUGGAUCGACCCCGGUCUUGCCGAGUUAUUUAUUACUUUGAACAAUCUUUUGGUCAUGUCAGUGCACUUCUUUCUAUUUCAGCUUGAUUCCAGACAUAAAAAGGUGGCACACAACUGUCGCACUCGACAUCGCGGCGGCCUUAAAAAUUAAUUCUCGAUUAUGGAAAAAGAACAGAUUUCUGACAUCUUAUUCUUUAAUGGGGAAUGAUCUUGUUUAAGGAGUCGCCACCUAGUAUUAUGGUCACUAGGAACCCUAACUGGUCAACAGAGAUUCUAUGGUUCGGGACUGGUUACAUAAAAGGGAAGAUAUUAUCACCCCUUAAACGUCAUGCCUAAGGCAGGCUGCAUUGCUGGUUUCGUCUUAAAUUGCUAAAUGUUUAUUAAUUUAUGUUAUGAAAAUUUUCUUAUAAUAUUCCUGACUCUGGCGCCAGUGAAUAUUUAACUACGAAUAUUUCCAACUCUGGCGUUGGUAAAUAUUACGUAGCUAUAAAAAUAAAUUUAAAUCAAUAUUUUUUUUAUUCCUGACUCUGGCGCCAGUGAAUAAAUAAAUAAUAAUACAUUUAUUUUUUUUGAAUGCACAUAUUUCUUUUUUUUUUCUAGCUAAAUAAAAUUGAAUAAACAAAUAAAAAUAAUAUAAAUUUAAACCGGUAUUUUUAUUCCUGACUCUGGCGCCAGUGAAUAAAUAAAUAAUAAUACAUUUAUUUUUUUGAAUGCACAUAUUUCUUAUGUUUUUUCUAGCUAAAUAAAAUUGAAUAAAAAAAUAAAAAUAAUAUAAAUUUAAACCGGUAUUUUUAUUCCUGACUCUGACGUUAGUGAAUAAACUAAUAAAUUUACAUUAUUUUUAUUCUCGCAUACACAUUUUUUUUUUCUGUAUUUUUUUUAUCAUUUUUUAUUUUUUUAUUUAUAUAUAUUUUUGGGCUGGGCCCAGCCCAUCAUAUGUUUUUGGGCUGGGCCCAGCUCAGCCCCAGUGACCCGGCUGGGCAAUAAAAAAAAUAAAGGCACGCGUGACUUGUUCACGCGUGCCCGAACACUGGUGAAGGUAAUUAAAUUACCUUCACACAGUGUUCUUGUAACAUUGAAUUGCUUUUUUUGAAUGAAGAUGCAAAGGGACGAAGUCAUACCUGCUUCUGGAGACGAUGAAGAAGGCUGCGAUGCUGGUGGCUGCUGCUUUCGUUCGACUGCUUUCUCUUCUCUCCCCGUUGUGCUCACUGUCUUCCUUUUUCUUUUCUUUUUUUGUUUCCCUGAUAUGUUGGAGGGGAUGAGACGAAGCUGCGGGUGAUUAGUGCACUGUGUUCUUUUUUGUCUGUGUCUCCUUGGUUUCCCAGUCCAGUGCGCUUCCCUCUGUUCGUUCUCCCUGUUUUGUUAUCUGCCUCUCUAUUUUUUUUGUCUCCGAUUCUCGGCCCCUGUUCCCUCUGGUUUCGGUCUCUGCUUCGUCCUCCUGUGGUGUUUCUUUUCUUUGAGAUCGUAUGAUUUUUUUCUGGUUUCUCCUGUUUCUUUUUUUUUUUUCUGGGUUUUGCUCUGUUUUUGCUUGCGUUUUUGGGUUUCUCUUUCGUUUUUAUGCUGGGUUGAUUUCUGCCUUCGUUCCUUGUUCUUAACUUUGCUUUUUCUGGGUUUUCUCCUCUGCCUCUGGUUUGUGUUUUUUGCUUCCUUUUAUAGAGACAACCGAUUGACCCCCCCCUAACCAUCUUCAAGAUUACAGGCGAGAGACGUGGUCCACGAUUUGGAUCGAAACUGUUGCAGAUCUUCAGCCUAUGGAAUCGGGAUGGAGAAGAUGACCAUGGCUGCUCCACCAGCAACGGCAGCGUUUUGGCAGCAAGAGAUAUUUUCAAUUUGACCCCUGAACUUUGGAAAUUCUGCAAUUGAACCCCUAAGCAAAUAAAAAUUUCUUUUAAUUUUGCCCUUUUGGAUAAAUUUCAAUUAAAUCCCUAAAUUGGUGCACUGUUUACAAAACAGUCCUUAAUUCCUGGAUUAUUCAAUUUGAUCCUUAAUUAAUUCUUUCAAUUUUGCCUUUUUUGGAUAAAUUUUAAUUAAGUCCCUGAAUUUAUUUAAUUAAUUAAAUCAAAGUUUAAUUAAGUCCACAAACUUAUUAAUUCUUUUAAUUUCAUUCAUUAAACUAAUCUAAAUUUUAAGUAAAUUUCCAAACUUAUUAAUUCUUCAAUUUUUGACUAAUUUAUUCUCAAAUCUGAUAAUUUUAUCCUUAAACUUCAAAAUUUAUUGUCUUAACUUCAUUGUCAACUAUAUUUAAUUUUUAUUAUUUGUUUAAAAAUUAUGUUAUGACAAUAACCAUGAUGAUUUACUAGGACCUAUAAGACACUUUUUGAUUAAUUUGAAGUAAUUUCCAAUUAUCAUUGUACGUGACUUUAUCUCAUUAUCAAAGUUUAGGAACUUGAAUGUUUGAAUUUUGAGAGUUAGCUUUAAUAAGGAGAGUUUAAUUUAUAGAUGAAUUUUUGAGAGCUCUAUGUUUGUAUCCAUGAUUUUGUAAUAUAUUCUAUAGAUGAUGACUAUAUUUAUGGAAUCUUGAAGCAUAUCAAUAGGAGUCUUAACAAGUCUCAAUAUUUAGAGCUAAAGUUUUCACUAUAAUAUCUAGGUUGAAUAAUGAGAUAGUGAAAUUUGGAUAACAAUUCAAGUAUGUAGAACCAUUAGCAAGAUUUGAUUGAAAGAUUGUAAGGAGUGAGUUUGAAGAGGUCAUAAAUUUAUGGUCUCUUGAAAACAUGAGUAUGGGAGAGUCUAAUCCGAGAUACUACAAUAUAAAUUAGACGGUGAUCAUUUUUAGUUUGGUUUGUUUUUAAAAAUCAAAACCGGUUCAAACUUUGAAAUUUUUAUAUAUGUUCGUUCUAUGUAUAUUUGUUUUCAAGCUUUGAAAUUUUUAUAGCUCAAUUAUUAUAAUUUUUUUAAAUUUUUUUAUGUGGGAAAAGAGUAUCAAAAUUGUGGGAAAUAUAUAUUAGAAUAUUUCAUGGACUGCACUGCUCUAUGAUUGUGCAUUUAUAGCCCAAUUAUUAUUAUUUUUUCUUUUUCCUGUUGAUUGCAUUUUGGAAUCCAUUUGAUUAGACAUAAUUUGAACUGGAAGAAUGAAUUGGGUUCACCUUCAUUUGUUCUGUUUUAAUGUGACUGAGAGCCUUAUUUUUUAAAAUGUAUUGUCACUCAUUUAGAUACUGGCUAAGUAGAGUUUGCAGUCAGAUUAACAUACAGCAUGCAUUCAUUCCAUUAAGCCCUAAUGGAGUGAAUGAAUAAAAUGACUUCUAUUAAAUGUUCCUCUACUACUUGGAUGCUGAACUGGAUAUUGGAGGUUCCCACAUUGCCCAUUGUUGGUAAUUUAGCACUCUGAAACAGAAGCUAGUCAAUAGGCGUCUAUAAGUUGUACAGAGAUUUUACAAUAGAAACUAUUCAAGUAAGAUUUUGGUGCAAUCAGUGUUCUAUAUGCACGAACAAAUUUGGGGCUUCACUGUACUACCUCAGAUACUCUCAAAAAAUGCUUCUUGGAAUUCGGAAGUUUAGACGAUCAUCGGUUGAAAUGAUGUUACCGUUUCUCUUUCUGAACGUUAUUUCCAGGUUGGAAAUUCAAGUAAUUAGUUCAAAUCCUAGAAGAUGAGUGGUGGCUUAGAAUGCUGUGAAAAAAUCGUUCCCUUAUUCAUUUUUCAAAAUAGAAAAGACAUAACUUUUUGCUUGAACUUCUAGAAUAUAAAAAAAUCUUACUUUUAUAUCUAGACACUUUCCAUCUAUGAUCUUUAAAUCUGAAGACAUAUCAUCGAUCUGGUUUUAAGAAAGUGCUAUUAACAUACCAAACUUUAUUAGAUUGUUGUUGUGCACUUAGGAAGAAAUAAAAUACUUGUCCUCCUUUAUUGUUUUCAAUAGCAUGAUCAGCUUCAUAGUUUUCUACGUUGUCUUUUUUACUAGAAGUACCUUCGUGAAUGUUGGGAAUUUCUGUCUUUUGCAUCUAUACCAGCACUCUUUUACUUGGUGUCCACCUCAUUUUCAAGUUCAUAAGUAGGAGGAAUGAAUGUAAAAAUAUAGCCAUUUUUUUUUCUGGUUUUUUGCUGGGAUUUUUAUUUAAAAUUUGACACAAGUGUUUAUAUAUAAACAUUUUGAUUUUUUUGUUUCCUAAUCGACGAGGAAUUCCACUCACAAGUAAUAUCUGUACAUUUUUUCUCAUGUUUGGUUAAGGCUAGGAAAGUGAAACAAAAAUCAUGUUAUGCUGUAUAAAAAGGUAAUGUAAGUGACUGGUUUCACCAUCACCGGUAAAGUGUCUGUAAUGACUGGUAUGGCCUGUGGGCUACAUUAUGCUUAGAUCCGUUAAAAUCAUGUAUGUAAUGACUGGCUAUGAAUGAGGUUUUUGUAAUUUUUAAAAAAUAAUAAUAAAUUCUGUGAUGUCCAAAGUACACUUAUUAUGGGCUUGAGGAAGUAUUAAUUUAUAUAGUUAACAUCUGGCCUUCCUCAUGUUUUUGCUUAUUUAUUGAAGUCACAAAGUUCUUUGUUCAUCUAUGGUGACACCUGUGUAGUUUAAAGUAAGGGCCUAUCAGAGUACACAGUUGUUAUAGCAUAAUUUUGAGAUACUUUCUUAGGGAUCGAUUGAGAUUUUUAUUGGCUGAGAACUCCCUAUAAGGUACUUGGAUGGUCAGCCAACAAUUUAGUGAUAUUUGACCGAGGCCUCUCCUGUUUUUGAAACUUCAAUGGUAAUGACCAUAGUUCAUUUUUCAACGCUUUGAUUAUAUAAAUUUUUUCCGGCUAGUCUUAUAGAGGACCUACUAUCUACUAUCUGACCACAUGUCAGCUUGACUCUGUUUGUUGCUGGUAUUAUUAUUUUGCUUGUUGAUUGCAUUUGUUUUUCUAUGCAAGAUGUUUUUCAAGCAAUUGCUAUCUAUUUGUAUGUCUGAAAUAUGCUAAGUUUGAGAAUUCCUUUCUUUUCUCCAUUCAGAGCGGUUGUGUGCAAAGGAUGAAUAGAUGUGAACCUGCUAUUGAUCAAUGGUAGAGAUUCGGUUCUGAAGGUGGCUUGAUCAAGUUAUCUUUGGAGUUGGCAUUUUUACACAGGCAGAUGAAAUUUUUGUUGUAUGCCACUGAGGAGCGAACCUCCUAUUGAAUCUGGAUUAGUUACAGAAUUUUAAAGACUUUUUAAUCCGCCUGAGAUUCUAAGCACCGAUUCUUUUACUCUCCCUAGGAACGCAAGGUUAGGAUAAAUGAGUCAGUUAGAUGCUCCACUGGUAUAUCCAUUUUUCAUUUUGCAUAGCUAGUGUAUGCUUGCAGCAAAAUAUUUUAUCCGUUGCAAUUAUAUUGUGAUUUUUCCAUUUUGAACUCGAGAAAUUUUAGUGUAGUAUCUGGAAGACCACAGAGUUACGUGCUUCGGCAGAAACAGUUGUAUACCUGAAUGAAAUCUCUUUUCAAUAAUAAGGUUUGAUUACUCUUUGGAACUCAUUUCCAGUGCAUGGUUCUCUAGUUACAUGCAAAAGUUGCAGGUUGUUUAAAAAUGGUGGUUAUUUUGGUUUUGGUGAUUUAAGCACUCAUUACUGCAAUAUCAGCAAUGAGAAAAAGCAACUACUGAAAAUUGCUCUUAAUGGUGAAAGCAUUAUGCAUCAGGCUUCCUCGGAGUGAAGGCUAGCCAUAGAUGCUUUUGUUUACUGAAGGUGUUAUUUGCAGCAGUUGCAUCUGCCUGCAUAACUGUUACUGGCUUCCAGCUUGGAUAAUUAGAUGGUGAUGUUGGAUUCUGUUGCAGCAAAACAGUUCUUGUGCUGGGAUUCUGAUGAAUCGCGGUGUGAUUUUUGUACUUAAUGUCAGAAGGUAAUGCAUAUCAUCCAUAUUGAGUUAUUCAUCUUCUUUAGGGAGCAAUGAACAUAAGUGGAUAAUGAGAUUUGGGAUUCAUGCUUGGAAAUGUUCUCACGUUUUGGGUUCGAAGGAUUGAAACAAUCUGCACAUUUCUUCUUUCUCUUGGUUCUUUGAAGUGAUAAACUAACUGUAAUAUUAAAUGUGUGAAAAUGAUUGCGGUUCAAAGUGCUUUUGGUUUAAAAAUACAUUAAAAUAAUAUAUUUUUUUAAAAAAAUAUUUUUGAUAUCAGGAUAUCAAAACGAUUUGAAAAUAUAAAAAAAAUAAUUUUAAGCAAUUUUUGUUUCUUUCAAAUUUUGGUGGAACGUGGUUUGAACCGCAUUUCUAAAUGGGGUCUAAGUAUAAAACUAAAAGGUAUGAGUUUUUCACCAUGCAUGAUCUUACUAUUCAUUUUCUCAUGUAUUACUGUCAAUGAACUGUAAAAACUUUUUGUUUUUUCAAUUUGGUUCUUAAACUUCAUUUUGAGCGAUUUAGUCCUCAUUAAAGGCCAAUUGAUUUUGAUUUCUUAUGAAAAAAAUAAGAUUGAAAGAAGAGAGAUCUAAAUGAAAAAGGCAUCAAACAUGAUGACAUGCUUUAAGUUUUGAAAAUGAUGCACUUUGGUCCUCAAAUUUAAAAAAACACAGAUUAUAUAAUUUUGAUACCUUAAUAUUUUUCAAUUUAAGUUUGGUAUGAAAGUUUAUUUUUGUUAUUUUUUUAGUCCAAGGUUAAGAGUGGAGAGAGAAGUCGCUGGAUUCCAACGGUAGAGAGAGAAUCAUGUCGUUGGCAUUGAUUUAGACUAUUAAAACGGAUGAUAUUUGUGUCAAAUAACUUUUUUGAAUUGAGAGAAAUGCGUUGAAAAAACCUGCAUAUAUAAUGUUUUUAUAGAAAAUAAAAAUAUUUGACCUGUAAAGGAGCACAAGUCAUAUAACUACUAGUAGUACUAAAUUGAAGUGAUAAAAAAUAAUAUAAAGCACAAGUAAAUUGCAUAGAUAAGUCAUCAAUGACACAAACCCCUCCAUAUAUAGAUAAUUGAGCAUCGAUUCUUAAGUUUAGGGAGACACAUGGUGGCCAUGUAAGUCUAUACUGGAUCCAUGCGCUUGCAAGUAAUGAUGGAUUCUCAUGAGUCCUAGAAUUCAACAUGCUUAAGAAUAUAACGGACGUGUUGGAUAAUUUGUUGAUUUCUUAGUUCAAGUAAUCUGAUCCAUUCUUCAUAGUUAAUGUAUCUAGUGACUUGAUAUGAAAAGCCUAAAGGGUUGGUAACUAGUAGCAGGUGAUGUCUGGCAAGCCAGGUGACUGGUAGUUGGUACCUAUAAAAGGUCCUCUUUGAUGGAUUUGGAGAUUCUUCGAUAGUAAAGUUAGUAACUUUAUAGAGAGAGAAGAAGCAAUAAUAUUUUAGAGAGAGAUACUCUGAAAAUAUAUACAUAGUAGAGAAUGAAGAUAUUGUGAACCUUUGACUUGAAGGAUUUAUGGUGUAUUUAUAGCUCAUGAAUCUUAUCCUUUUUGUGGAGAGGAGGGACUGAAGUGUAAUUUCAAUAUUAUAAUAUUUUGAGUUGUAUUCUACUUAAAAUAAUACGUAUUUGAUCAAUAUAAAAUAUUGAGAGACUUGUAUGGGGUCCAGAAAAAAUUCUCUAACGAAUGUUGGGCUUGGGCAGGGUGCACGAGCCUAUUGGAGGUGAAAGUGGGUUCAAGAGCACUACUUAGACCCAAACAUACUGGGCUUGGUAUGACAACUUGUGCCCAUGAGGGCUAUAAGGUGCGCGCCCAUGAGGGCUAUGGGGUGUCUGCCCAGCAUCACCUAGGCGUACGCCUUACAUUGGUGUACACCUAUUGGGGUGCAUUAGGUGUACAUGCAUGUACUGUGCAGACGCCUAAUACAUUGUAUAGUGCCCAUGCACUUGGCGUCCAUAUGCCUAUGCAGGGAGCAUGCUCUUGGUGUGUGAUAGCUCGAGCUCGUGUUUCUUGGAUGUUUUUUGAGCUUUUUUUUUUACGAUUUUUUUUGGAUCAAUUUUGGAGAAUUUUUUAGAUUUAUUUUAUUUGUAUCCAUCAGAUUCUAUUAUCAAUUUAAAAAUUUUGAAGUGAUAGAUUAAGAAUAUAUAUUGUAUAUAAGUUCCUCAUUUUCCAUUCCUAACCCAAUAACACAUCUUGAAACACUAAACUGGCGUGAACCUUAAAAUAGAAAACUAAAUUUUAUUGAAAGUUUACCCCUUUCACAAUAUCUGACAAAGCAAUGGAUAGCUUCUACAAAGAGGAUUUUUUAGGAAAAUUUAUUUAUUUUCUUAUUAUUUUUACUAUUUUUUCUAUUUAGUGUAAGAAGUUAAAUUUUAUGUUAAUAUUUUUAUUUUUUCUAGUUUAUUUAGAAUUUUUAUUACUUUUGUUUUUUGUAUUUUUAGGUUUUCUAGUUUGUUUAGGUUAGUUUUUAGGUUUAUCUAAGAAGUUGUAAACCUCUUAGUGAAAAAGGCUAUAAGAACAUAAAAUAUUCAGUAAUAAAAUUAUAAAUUAGGAUUUUGCGAGAUAGUUUUAUUUGGCUUCAAUUAUGUAUUUAUAGCUUAUUGUUUUUUUUUUUGUUUCUAGUUAGUUGAUAUUAAUUACAGUCCAACGAUACCAAUUGUUAUUUGCUUGUUAUGUGCUUAAAUAACUAUGACUGGAAGGGGUAGUAGAAUAAGACAUGCUCGUAUAGGAGUGGAUGAAGAGGUUCCCCUUGAGAAAGAGAUGUUUAAAAGAUGGUGAUAGAAGACAUGCAACGAUAAAUUGCAAAAUUGAAAAGAGAUUUUGGGAUGAUAUAAGACAUGCAUAAAAAAUUGCAAUAUUAACCCAUUAGUUGGAAGAGGUAAGGAGCCUAGGGUAUCUUGAGAAAAGUGAUCAUGGAUCUAUUGUUAAUUUUGAGAACUUGUUUAAAAGACAGUAAGCAAAUAAAAUAACUUGUUGAUUGGGAUGAAUAUGAUAUUGAAUCUAAAAUUUUUGAUAACUCUAGUUUCUUAGUGGACUAGAAUCAAAUACUAAAAUUUGACGAGGAUAAUGAAAAUGACGGCAAAGGAAAAGAUUUAAAGGCAAAUUUUUUAAUUAGUGAUCUCCACGAGAAGAAAUCAAAAUUAGAUGUGUGUUUAAGAAAAAUUUUAGAAUUAAUGAGGUGAAAGCUGAUGCUAUUGCAAUUCAGCUCAUGCAAGACUUACAAGUCGUUGGCAGUAUCCAAUUCGAAUAUUAUAGACUUCGUCUAAGGUAGUUUACAAAGAAAGUACCCUUAAGACGUGAUUAUAAUAAAAAGUCUAUAUUUCCUGAAAAACAGAAAAGAAAAACACUACAAAGCUGAGAAAGGCAGACAAUAUCGAUUGUCAAAAUCUGAAGGAUACUCAAAUGAGUUUCGGAAAUAUUGAGGAGGGUGUAGGAAAACCUGAAAAUGUACGAGAGAACACAACCCCAUCAUGGGUUGCUGUAAUAUGAUAGAAUGGAAUGAAAAACAUAUUGGAAUGAGCAAUAACUAUUACUUGAUUUUUCUAUUUUCUGGUUGUGUAAUUAUCAAUCUGUAAGUGUUACAUAUUGAUCCCGUCUACACUGGCAUUUUUCUCAGCAGAUUGUUGAAGCUGCAAUGCAAAUUCAAGGCCCCAAACGACAUCACCCAUUUUAGGGCGUUCAAUUCCUUGACCAUGUAAGCAACUGUUAGCAAUCUCUGCAAAGUUAUUUAAAGAGACAGGGGAAACCUCGCCCUUUAAAUGUGGAUCCACGAUCUGAUCAAGGGUUCCUCUUUGGUAACAUUUUCGUGCCCAGUCAGCUAAGCUUGCUUGAUCUUUCGGUGAACCUGGAAUCACUGGUGGCCUUGCACAUAGCACCUCAAACAAAACCACACCGAAUGAAUAAACAUCAGAUUUCUCUGUCAGGUGUUGCCUACGGUAGUACUCUGGAUCCACAUAUCCAAAGCUACCUCUAACUCCAGUGCUAACAUGGGUUUGGGAUGUACUAGUGGGACCUAAUCUGGACAGCCCAAAAUCUGAAACCUUAGCCACCCAAUUCUCAUCUAACAAUAUGUUUGUUGACUUCACAUCACGGUGAAUGAUUGUGUGCUUUGCUCCUGAAUGAAGAUAAUGCAACCCUUUAGCAGCACCGAUGCAUAUUUCUAGCCUUUGCUUCCAUGGAAGAGGAGAGUUCUUUGUUUUGUAUAGAUGUUCUCUAAGAGUGCCUCUUGACAUGUAAUCGUAUACAAGGAUCAUCUCGCCAUGAUCAUCACAGUAUCCAAUCAGUGACACUAGAUGAAGGUGGCGCAGAUUGGAUAACAUCUCAAUCUCUGUCUGGAACUCACGUGUCCCUUGCUUUGAUGAUGAAUCUAGUCGUUUGAUGGCUACUGCGAUGAAACCGUAUUCAAUGUAUCCUUUAUACACAGUACCAAAUCCCCCUGAACCAAUAAUAUUUUGAUCAUCAAAGUUUCCUGUUGCUUCGUUGAUUUCGAAAAAUGUAAACCGUCGGCAAAGAUCAGUAGGUAGUGAUGAAGAGAUUGUAGUCGUGGACCUAGAUGUUUGUGAUAUUAUAGUACAGGAGGAUUUUUCCUCACUCUUGCUAGGGUCCUCGACUCGCUUCUGCUUGAAAGCAAAGAAAUAAAGAAUAAGAGAGCAAGCAAAUACUGCACCUAUGGAACCUCCAACGAUGGCUAUAACCGUAAGUAUUGAUGAUCUUUUGCCCGUUCUUCUGUCUUGUAGACUUGGAUGUUGUUCUGCUGGUGGAGGAGCCACUGUUGGCUCAGGGUUGAAUCCUGCAAGAUUUCCGCCUGUUCUAUUCAGCUUGAAUAUUUCCAAGCCAUUCAAGAUUGCAUCAGCGUAAGUAGGUUUCAGUUCCAUGUUAGGGUGUAGUUCGAGCCACAAGCCCUGCUUGCUCUGGCUCCCUGGAGGGACCCGCACCAUGUAGUCUUUGUAAACUGGAAUGCCGUUGCCACCGCUCAUAUGGAUCACAUCUGCAUCAUCCUGUGCUGUUUGAUUGUUGAUGAAUAUUAAAAAUACCUGUUGAUUUUCAUUUUUGAACUCCAUUCGAGUCUCACAAAAGUGGAGCCUAAGGAGAUAAAGGAAACCAGCAUCAACUGGGAAGAUCCAUGUGAGAUUGUAAUUCAUGUUAAGACGUGGUUCAGGACCCAUAGAACGCAUAGUACUAUAUACCAUAACAGGUGCCGAGUAAGCUGGCGUUUUGGUUGUGUACUUUAUCAUAACGCCUGGGAGAUAUGGAAUGUUUCCAGCUUGUCUAAAGAGAUACUCUGAAUCUUGAUGCCAUGUCCUGUACAUUCCAGUGUCUCCAGUGCUGCUGAUAUCUUGCCCCCCAACAUUCAGUCGAUAAACUGUCUCAAGCGCAGUUGUGUUAUACAGAAAGGUGUGGACAUCGGGGCCCACAUAGGUCAGUGGAUUAUCAUCGCCACGAGCAUAGAAGCUGUCUGGCAUGGAAACGAUUUCGAUACCAUUAAUGAAGGCAAAAGAUGCUGGAGACGGAAUGAAGGUUAAUUCAAGCUUCUGGUUGUCCCACACGGUGAUGAUGAACUCUUUGGUGAAGUAGUCAACUGGAGGUCUUAUAGCAGAAAUUAACUGUAAGAGAGGCACUAAAGUUGUUUAGUAGCUUGUAGUUGUUGGCACUAAGCGAAAAAUAGGAUUUGGAUAUGUCAAGAUUUGAGUAAGAAGCUGGAUAAAAGUAGAGACGCACAAAUUUUGGGCCAGGCAAGACUGGAAAUGUGUAAGUGAAUUUAGAGUGAAAAAUACGGGCUGUCAUGUAUGGGACUUGGUCGACAGAGGGGUCUUGAGUGGAGGCUUCAAACACAGAUGAGGCUUCUGGGGGGUUAGAGGCAGCAAACUUAGACUGGGAAUCACCAUCCCAGCUGCGACCAUCUGGAGAUGACAAAUUAGAGGAUGCACCACAGUUAAGGAGUAUUAGAUCAGUGGGGCUGUAUGGCAGCAAGUAAUCUUCAGUAGCAGUACCAUAGAGGAAGAGAUGGAGGGGAGGGAGAAGGUAGAGAAAGAUGAAGAUGGACAUUACUAUGCUAGUUCUUUGGUGGAGUAAAUUGGAGUAAGAAAAAAUAUCUAUUAAAUGCAAAGAUUUUGAUUUAAGGGAAGAUAAUCAAUGGUGUCGCUGUCUCCAUACAGUAACAUUUUUGCUCAGGUUGAGAAUAAUCCAAUAAUAUAUUUGAGACCCGUCGGAGAAGAAAAUUCGACGAUAUGGCUAAUGGGACAUAUUGGUCAGCUUUGGAUGGCUGCUUCCCGUUGUGUGGUUCUGAAUUCCGCAAUAAAGCCGCAAUGAACAAUCUAAUUUCAACAAAGGAUCGACCUAUUCCUUUUUGGUUCAUGAGUGUGCCUUUUUGGGCUGAGCUUAUAACCAAAAAUCUUCUCAUCUGGUAUAGUAAUCGCUUACUGCAAAACUUGGUGGUAAUGAGAAAUCUUUCUUCCCCUUAAUCGAAGAAUAAUGGAUUUACCUCUUGAUAUAUCUGGGACAUAUUUGGUAUCUAUUAGAAAAUAAUAUAAAUUAUAUAUUGAAAUUUUAUUUAAAAAUUUAAGUAAUUGGGUUGAGAUGGUUCUUUGAUAUGAUAUCAGAGUCUUAAUGACAAAACAUGCAUGAGAUUAAAUCUCAUCAUUCUCAUCUAUUUGAUAAAAAUUAAGCACAAGGUAAUGUGAGCCUAUGCAAGUUUAAAGCUCAAAAGACUUUCACUUGAAAGAGUGUGUUAGAGAAUAAUAUAAAUUAUAUCUUGAAACCUCACCUAAAAAUUUAAGCUAUUGGAUUGAGAUAGUUAUUUAACAGUACAUAAUAAAAUCAAUAGCAACAGUGAAGAAGAGGCAAGCUGUCCUCUCUUCCCUGGAGAUGGUAAUUUGCUCUCUCUCAUCCUGUUAAGCUUGAUUUCCAUACAUGAGGGGAAACUGAAUGGAGUUCUCGGUGGAUGAAAAAUAAUUGGAAUAAUAAAUGAAAUGAAAUUGAGUUUCAUUGUUGAAAAAAUCAUGCUGAAAUCACUUCAAUCCUAAGGAAAAUACAAGUCUUCUACAAUGAUCAGGUCUAGCAAAUGUUCUUAUCUUGUACAAACACGACACCUAAUGCAAACCUGUGAACAUUCCAAGAUCUUUUUUUAAACUUCAUUGCUUGCAAUAGAUCAAGGAAGCUUCGCCAUUAAUUAGUGCACGAGAAAGACAAUCACUAGAUAUCGUAUCAACAUAGCAAUUGCUUGCUAUUUUCUUCAAUUAUAAAUCAUUAUAAAGUAUAUACAAAUUUUAUUGUUAUUGUUGGGAUAUUGCCAUUAUUGGGCAACAUGUGCAGCCUACCCUAUAAAGAGUAGGGUUACCAUUUGUCAAUGGUAGUUGCACCCACCAUUGAUAAAUGUAUCAACCCAUGUGCAACUGUUGUUGUUGAAGAAGAACAACCACCAUCCUUGCCUAUAAAUAGACAACAAGAGAGCAGAACAAUUGAGAGAGGGAUUGUGAGAAUGUAGAGAGUGUGAAGAGAGAAAGAAAGAGAAGGGCUGCCACCAGCAGCCCUGCUGCCUUAUGCAGCAAUGAGAGAUGAGAGUUGAGUGGAUGUGAUCCUCCUCCAUGUGUUGUAUUCUUUCUCUAUCUCUAAAUAAAAUGAACCUCUCCCAUGGAUGUAGGCGGUUUUGCCGAACCACGUUAAAUAUUGUGUCAGUGUGCUUGCCCUCCGUUGAGCAAAGAUCAGUACAUCACUGGUCGGAUUUCCCAACAAUUGGUAUCAGAGCUGAUGGUUUAAAGUGGUGUUUGAUUUUUGCUCAAAAAAUGAAAGUUGUCAAAAUUGUGUUUUGACCAUACCACCGUGUAGAGGAGGAAGAGACGAAGCCACUGUUGAAAACUGCGUUGAAAUCGGACGUCGGACAUGGCCGCACGUGCCGUCACGCGCCAGCGUCACACGUGUCUUCUUCGCCCGGAUGGGCUGACCCGACCCGAAUACCAGACGACCCGACCCACGUGGCUGACUCGGAUAAGGAUGACAUCAGUAUGCCGUAAUUAUGACGUCAUCAUGCACAGUAGCAUGGCCCAGGAUGACAUCAACAUGAUGUAAUGGUGGCGUCAUCAUGCACAGUUAGCACAUUGGACCCACUAACACGUCAUCAGCCGUGAGCCGAGCUGAUCCGAGCGGCGAGCCGAGGGAUAGGAUUCUGUGCAGCUGAGUCUAUGUGCAAUCGGAUCUGAGAUUGAAUCUGAGCCGUUGAUCAAGCCAGAAUUGUUUUGAUCAAAGCUUAGCCGUCUGAAGUGCGAUUUGGACGAUUCAAGACAUGUUUCCAGCUAAUUUGAUCAUUCCAGAUGCAAUGGUACGGUCCGAUCAUUGAGAUUUGAGACCGAAAAUGGCGGUGGUGAAUUAUUAAAGAGAGAUUGCCCGAUCAGGAGGCAUCUGAGGGUCUUGAUGGAGGUCGAUGAAGAUGAUGAAGAAGAAGGUGCACAUGUUUUCCCAAUUAUAUGUGUUGAACUAUUAAAUGGGAAAAUGUAAUGCCUUGAUGGAAGGCAAAAUUAGGACACUCUGGACACCCAGUUAUGUGGACAAUUAGAGGUGGAGAGUGAAAAUUGACGAAGACCAAUCUUGACGAAUCUAAGCACUGGUAGUCUCGCUAGAUGUUGAGAAAUCAGGUAUAAAACCAAGAUACCCAGAUCACUUGUAAAGGAAAGCCGCAACAAAGCUAGCAAAUGGUUGUAUAUACGGAAAGACAGUACGAUGGAUAGAUAUGGCCUAAGAAGUUAUGUCUAGGAGAUUAGGUUUUAAGUGGGACCGUUGUGACCCCUCCAAUCUUUCCUGGGAACUUGCUUAGUGGAAGGAUUAUCCAUAUGGUACUAUUUUCGUAUAUGUAACAGUUUGUAAUGAAAUUUUUGAAGACUAGCAGGAUGACGCCACAAGGGGAACAAUUGGGUUCCGUAUGAUCAAGGAUCUGAUGGAGUAGUGAUUUCUUCAAAGAAGCUAGAUUCGGUGACUGUGAUUUCUCGAGGGGAGAAUUGAUGAAGACCCUGAUAAUGGAAGAGAAAUACAGCAAGGGGAUAAAGAUUGGCACCCUAUUUUGACUUGGACAAGUGUUGUGACAGGAUCAGCUGCUAUCAAACAUAAGCAAGGAAUAUGGAGAAAUCUGGAGAACAGAAAUUGCACGAGAGCACACGAAGAUUAUGCAGGAGUACCCGUAGGAUCCAACGAGGUACUGUAAUGAGAAGUUUAUUAUGUUGUUGUUGAAGAAGAACAACCACCAUCUUUGCCUAUAAAUAGACAACAAGAGAGUAGAACAAUUGAGAGAGGGAUUGUGAGAAUGUAGAGAGUGUGAAGAGAGAAAGAAAGAGAAGGGUUGCCACCAGCAGCCCUGCUGCCUUAUGCAGCUGCUGCCCAAUGCAGCUGCUGCCCUAUGCAGCAAUGAGAGAUGGGAGUUGAGUGGAUGUGAUCCUCCUCCAUGUGUUGUAUUCUUUCUCUAUCUCUAAAUAAAAUGAACCUCUCCCAUGGAUGUAGGUGAUUUUACCGAACCAUGUUAAAUAUUGUGUUAGUGUGCUUGCCUUCCGUUGAGCAAAGAUCAGUACAUCAUCGGUCGAAUUUCCCAACAGUUAUACUCAUCAAAAACAUGAGUAAAAAGAAAGAAGAAGGGUUCAGACAGUCACCCUACACGUAGAGCAAACUGAUCCACCCAUCUUGGUGGAGCUCACAUAGACGGAUUGGGUCACCUUGCGCUUUAUAGGUCGCUGUUGAAAUCGAAACCCACGCAGACAGAUAAAGAACCGACCCCUUUGUCCCCUCUUCCUCGAUCAACUACCAUGUUUGCAUCGAUUGUAGCAAGUGCAAGGCCGAGAGUUACCAUUGAUCGGUUUUGCACAGUUGCCAUAUAUUUGUGCAUUGCAAAUUGGUUGUCGUUCUAAACUCUUAGGCCAUGUUUGUUUCCUAAAAAGUAGUUUUUGGGAAAUAAUUUUCCAGACUUUCUUAUGUUUGUUUACUAUUAGAAAAGUUGGUCAAAUGAAAACACUUUCCGGUCAACGGAAAACACUUUUUAGUCAAAGAAAAUUUUAGCUUGGUUUUCAGGAAAGUGUUUUCCAUUUUAGCGGUGUUUAUUUUCUGAAAAGUGGUUUCCAGGAAAUCACUUUCCAAACUUUCUUGUGUUUGUUUGCCAUUAGAAACGUUGGUCAACAGAAAAUACUUUCCAGUGAAAGGAAAAUUUGACUUGGUUUUCAGGAAAGUGUCUUCGUGGAAAAUUUGGGCGGAAAACACGUUCCGAAAGUUGUGAAAAAUUUAGAAAUGUCAUUAUUUGCUGAUUAUAUCAAAUUUGAUCCUUAAACUUUUGAUUGCUAUAUAUAUUUUGUUUUGAAUAUUUAUUUUUCAAUUUCAUCUCUUAAAAUUUUUAUUUUAUAUUAACUUUGGUCCUUAUUUUUAUAAUUGCUAUUUUCUUUUUCCUUAUCAUUUUUUUAUUGAAAUUUUUUAUCUAUCAAAUUUGGUCCUCAUUCUUUUGAUUGUUACUUAAUUUUUUAGAUUUGAUCGAUAUUAUUUUGAUUAUUAUUUAUUUUAUUUGAGAUAAUUUAUGAAAUUAUAUUUAUUUUUUCAAUUUCAUUCAACUUUUUAAUUUAUAAGAUUUGUUCCUCGUUAUUUUAAUAAACUUGAGAAAAAUAAAAUAUUAAUAAGUUAUUUUCCAACUCAUUUUCCAUGACAUAACCAAACACUGGAAAAUGUUUUCCAACUUAUUUUCCAUUACACUACCAAAUAUCGGAAAAUACUUUCUCGGAAUUCACUUUCCGAAAAGAAACUACUUUCCAACAAACAAACGGGCCUUAUAGUUAAUAUAGUUACCUUGAGAGGCCAGUAGUCUCUGAUGCACUUCAGAUUCCAUAGAGAACUCCUCUUCAUUACCUUCACCGAUUGUGGCAUUGAAAAUUGGACUCGAGUUUGCUUUCAAGAAAGGCAGCUGCAGAAGCAGAUGUGAUCACCAAAACAAGCAGGAUAGUUAAAGAGAGCCACCAGAGGAAUUCAAUACUUACGUUAGGCCUCGUCUCUUUCUGUCUGUACCCUUCUGUUACAGAGUUUGAAGAGCACUAAAUAAACGUCACUGCGAAGAAUGCUUCGAACUCUGGAUAUGGAGUGAAAGGCUAGCUUUUUUCCAUUGACUUGCUUUUUUUGUGAAGACUUAGGUCUUCACAUGAAUGUGAUUUUGAUGUUUUAUACUAUCUUAAUCUAAUAAUUUAAAUUAUUAGAUAAAAUUAUAAAAUAUGAUAUAUAUUGUUCAAGAAUAUUUGACAAAACAUCCAGCCACUUAUAUAUAUAUAUAUAUAUAUAUAUAUAAGAUCAGGACCAUAAUCUGGAUUUUCGUUAGUGAAUUCAUCCUCAUCGGAACUUGAUAUUUCAUAUAAGGCUUCUUGGAGUUUUUUCUUGUAUUCUGACGUUGAGCUUGAUGAUGCAAGGUUUUCUUGAAUUCAACUUUUAGAGGUGAGAAACGUAAAUUGCCUUCUUGAGAUAGAGUUGAUGGGUAUGCUUGCAGCUAUGGAAUUUGAUGUGAUGAGAUUAUUGCCAAGCAUGCACAAUUUCAGAACAAGCUUGAGCUUCUCUGAAUUUGGGUCCACCAUUUGACUUUGAUUUUUCUCAUGAGAUCUAAAGAGUAACCAAUAUCUUUAUUUACAUCAUUCAUUAUAAUGGAGUCCCAAGAUAGCAUGAGACACCAAAGGUUGAGAUGAAAUAAAAAGAGGUAGGAAUUGAAUUCAAAGGUAUUUUUACUGUAAGCAAUUCCAAUCCUUUGUAUGAUUUUUUAGGGAGAAUCUCACUUAUUGAAGAAAAAUAUUGCCAUCAAUUGUUUGACAACUAAGUUGGAAAAUUCUUUGGAAAUGUUUUGAGAAAAUCUUUCAAGGUGCAGGGUUUUGAUUCAUCUCUUGAAAGGUUAAAACCUUUUGAAUUUUUAUUUUUGAAAAAACAAGAUUGUUUACAUCUUGAUUAUGAGUUAUUUCAACAAAGUCAAUAUCAACCAAAAUAAACUCAUAGAAUUGUUUUGUUUUCAACAUAUUUUCUAAAAUAACUUGAAAAUAAUAGCUUCUUGACUUGAAAGGCUUAAAGCUUUUUUUAGGAAAAAUUUGGAGGGUAAUUAACACAAGUGAAAGUACAAGCAAUGGGACAAUAGCGAGAAAAAGAAAAUUAAUAGUUGAAAUAGAGUAGAGCACAUGAAUUCUAAUUUAUAGUUUUAUUGAUGAAGAGAAAAAUUCACUAUUUCUUUUGCCUCUUUAUGAUGUUUUCAACUUUUUAAAUAAGCUAAAAAAAUCAAACUAAUCAAACUAGAAAACCCUAAAAUAAAGAAAAAAAAUAUUAAAAUUCCUAAACAAACUUAGAGAAAUAAAAUUACUAUUCUCAAUAUUUAAUUUCCUAAACUAAAUAGAAAAAAUAAAAUCACCGAAAAUAUUUUCCUAAACUACAUAGAAAAUAAUAAUAACUAAGAAAUUUUAAUUUCAUAAAAACCCUUGGCAUCAACAAUAAUGUUGUAAAAGGUGUAUUAAUUUUGGGAUUGAACAAACAAGGGAGUUUGGAGAGAUUAAGAAUAAUUUAUAGGUGAGGUGUUUGGACUAGAUCAUGCUGAUGAAAGGAUUCAAAAUUGAUUAUUUAAGACACUAGCCCCAAGGAGGUCAAACCCUCCCUGAAAUAAAUUAAUAUCUUGAAUGCUUGAUGUUGUGGUUUGAAUUGGUCUUGAUGGUGUAAGAGCAUAUGAUUAUUUUGACUUAUUUUGAGCCUAGUAAAGACUCUUUGGAUAAAAGACUCUUUUACUUCUUUCAUUAAUUCAAUCUCCAAAUCAUAUUUUAAUAAAUUAUCUUGUUACCUGGCAAAACUUUGUUUUGACACAAUAUUUUGAAUAUUUUUUUCAACAACUUAUUUUACAUAUUGACAAUUUAUUUGUAAAAGAAAUUUCUGGAAAAUAAAUCAUCUUGAAAAUAUUAGAUGUAUAAAAUAAUUAAUAAAAUUUUCUUUUUGAUAGUUGAAUAAUUUUCUUGAGGAUCCAACCAAAUACCUAAAUGAUAUUGCACUAUAUGUUAUUGACUUUGAAAAUUUUGUUUGAGAAUACCACUGUAACUAAUAUCAAAGGCAUCGGUUUCAACUAUAAAAAAGGCCUCUAGAUCAUAAAGUCUUAAACAUGAAAACUCUUGACUUGACUUUUAAGAGUAUUCACAAUUUUGAUCAUUUGAUGAUUGAUUUUAGACAGGAGGGUUUUUCUUAAGUCUUUUGUACAAAGGUUGACAUAUAGUUCUAUGAUUUGGAAAAAUAUCUAAAACAUAAUCGAGGCAUCCCAUAAACUUUUAAAGCUAGGUUUUACCCUUGAUCUUAUUUAUGAAUUUAAUGGUAAAUUUUAUUAUAGUGACAAGGGUUAUUGAUAAAUUAUAAUUUUUAAGGUUGAGAAAACUAAUCUAUUUUGUUUGAUAAUAUUAAGAAACGUUUGUAAGUUGUUGAAAUGUUUGGUUAUUAGUUUUAAAAAUAAAAGAACAUCAUCUAUGUAUAUAAUCAUAAUUUUGAAUAUAGAUUAAAGAUGUCAUUCAUGAUGCUCUGAAGUUUUGAAGGAGUAAUUUUUAGUUCGAAAGACAUUAUAUCUCAUUUGUAAUGACCAAAUGAAAUAAUGAAUGUUGUUUUAUAAUGAUUUUUUUAAUCAAUUUAGACUUGUUAGAAUCUUGAUUUCAUAUCAAUUUUUGAAUAUAUUGAAGAAUUUUAAAGUCUUCUGAUAAGAUCUCUCUUAUUGUGUAUUGGAUAUCUAAUAUAUUGGAGCACUUUGUUGAGAGGCUUGUGAUUUAUGACAUGUAUUAGUGCAUGAUUAGUACUUAAAAGUGUAUUUUAUCAAUGUUUUAUAUUAUCAUUUUGUACUUGAAGUAUCAAUAACUCCUUAACUAGAGCAUGUUUUAUAAUAACAAGUCUGAUAAUAUAAGAUAACUUUAAUUUAUGGUAAAUGCUCAUUUUAAAUACAGACAUAUCUCACAAUUCAAAGGAUUGAUUGCUGUGAUUAACUAUUGAAAGUGAAAAGACAAAGAAAAGGCUAAGCUUAGAAAGGAGAUGCAGAUUCAAUUCAAAUUGGAACACUGUUAAGUUAUUGGGUCAUAUCUGGAGCUACAGUUCUUGGAUUUCAGUUUGGUUUAUAUGGCUAGAAAAAUAAGAAAUAGGCUUACAAUGUUCAUGAAUAGUGAAAGACCCAAAUCUUCCGUUUUCAAAUUCAAAGUUUGGCCACAAAAGAGAAGUCAGAAUCUGUCAUACAAUCCAGCCCAAACACUUCUCAUACUUUUACCCAUAGCUGGAGUUUUAAAAGGAAAAAUGAUGUCAAAUUUGGUGGCUAGAAGGAUAAGACAAUUUCCAAAAACUUUCAUGAAGACGACCUGCUCCAAUUCUGAUGUUAGAAAUGACAUUUCAUCCAGACAAGAGCUUGAGGGCUGUCCAUUACGUCCACCAGAAGCACUACUCAAUAUUUUAGCCAUAUCUCAAUCUCUAGUGAUCCAAAUGCUCUAAAAUUUUAUGGAUGGAAAGAUGAGAUGAUUGCAGACAACUUUUAUGAAGAACACUUUGCCAAAUGUUGAUUGAAUCAAUGUCAUUUCAUCCAGCCAAAAUGCUUAAGUGUUAUUGUCCACCAAGUCCACUAAAUCAAUAGUUGGCCACUACAUCAAUAAUCAAUUACCAAAUGAAUAGUUCCGAAUUUUAGCCUAUAAAAGGAGACAAUUGCAAUUCAUUUAGGCAUCUUGGUUCUUAGAUCAAGAUCAUGUUCUUGCUCUCUCUUUAAAUUUUUGUAAUGCUUAAGUUUUGCUUUCAUUAAUCUCUUGUUUAUGCUUUUCAUUUUCUUUACUAUACUUAGUUAACUUAUAUCAUGUUUAUGUUCAUAUAUUGUUUAUUUAUGUUUUUAUUUUUCAUAAUGUCGAGCUAAGUUAAUUAUGUCAAGGUGAAAAGGUUUCACUAAUGGUGUUAGAAUAUGUAUAAUAUAAACUCAAUAUGGACUUCAAUGUUUAUAUCCAAGAAAGUUUGUUAUUAAUAUGUCAUAUCUUUUUAUCUUAUUAAUUCUUAAUACCUUGCUUGUUAAAUGGUUAAUCUAGAUUUGUGUUGUAUAACACUUGGUAAAUCAAAUGCUUGAUCCUUCAUAGUCUUCGGUCAACAUCAUUGUUAUGAGAAGAACUUGAUUUGUUGUUAACAUAAGUUAACAUCAUGAAUUCCUGAUAAUAUUUAAAAGUAUGGUGUUACUAAAAUAAGAUAAUUAAUAUGAUCAUGUUAAAAAUUUAUAAUUAACUUUUACGGAUAAAUCAUCCGAUUGGAACCUCCUUUGUGUGUGGUUUCCAAUUGAGUAAUAAAAAGAGUUUAUACUAUACUUAUUUCUAAUACCAUUAGUGGACCCUCUAACCUUGACAUUUAUUUGUAUUAUUGUUUAAUCCUCACAUUAAUCUUAUAUCUCAAAGAUCUCUUUAUAUAUAUAUAUAGUUAACUUUCCUGUGGAUCGACCCCGGUCUUGCUGAGUUAUUUAUUACUUUGACACUCCUUCACUUGAGAGAAGACAUCAAUCUUUUUGUCAUGUCAAUGCACUUCUUUCUAUUUCAGCUUGAUUCCAGACAUAAAAAGGUGGCACAUAACCAUGAUGAUUUACUAGGGCUUAUAAGACACUUUUUGAUUAAUUUGAGGUAAUUUCCAAUUAUCAUUGUACGUGACUUUAUCUCAUUAUCAAAGUUUAGGAACUUGAAUGUUUGAAUUUUGAGAGUUAGCUUUAAUAAGGAGAGUUUAAUUUAUAGAUGAAUUUUUGAGAGGUUUUGGAGCUAUGUUUGUAUCCAUGAUUUUGUAAUAUAUUCUAUAGAUGAUGACUAUAUUCAUGGAAUCUUGAAGCAUAUCAGUACGAGUCUUAACAAGUCUCAAUAUUUAGAGCUAAGGUUUUCACUAUAAUAUCUAGGUUGAAUAAUGAGAUAGUGAAAUUUCGAUAACAAUUCAAGUAUGUAGAACCAUUAACAAGAUUUGAUUGAAAGAUUGUAAGGAGUGAGUUUGAAAAGGUCAUAAAUUUGUGGUCUCUUGAAAACAUAAGUAUGGGAGAGUCUAAUCCGAGAUGAUGAAUUGGUUUGAGUACAAUCUGUAUUAGACGGUGAUCAUUUUCGGUUUGGUUUUUUUAAAAAAACCAAAACCGGUUCAAACCGACCGGUUUCAGUUUGACUCGGUUUUUUCUGGUUUGGAUAUGUUUUUUUCGAUUUAGGUUUGGUUUGGUUUUUCAGUUUCAAACUUAUAAAACAAAAACCAAACCGAACUGGUCGGUUUUUCUGGAAAGAUAUAAUUGUUUCAAAUUGUUUGAUGAAGGCUGGUCUAGAUCAUAAAUAAUUGUCAUUACACAGUGCCGGUCUAACUUGAAAGAUGUUAAUGCCCCAUUAAUUGCGACGCCUAAGCUCAUAAACGAUAUCCAUGAAUUAUGAUGACCAUUAAGGAAGCUCAUAGGAACUCCUUAAUUUCAAGUUGCUUCUUAAUUUGUCUUCUUGGACAUGCAUGUGAUCUAAAGGAACAAAGGGAAAUUAAAUGCUUAAGCAUGAAUGUGAUCGUUCUAUAUAUGUUCGUCUUCAAGCUUUGAAAUUUUUAUAGCUCAAUUAUUAUAAUUUUUUUUAAUUUUUUUAUGUGGGAAAAGAGUAUCAAAAUUGUGGGAAAUAUAUAUUAGAAUAUUUCAUGGACUGCACUGCUCUAUGAUUGUGCAUUUAUAACCCAAUUAUUAUUAUUUUUUCUUUUUCCUGUUGAUUGCAUUUUGGAAUCCAUUUGAUUAGACAUAAUUUGAACUGGAAGAAUGAAUUGGGUUCACCUUCAUUUGUUCUGUUUUAAUGUGACUGAGAGCCUUAUUUUUUUAAAUGUAUUGUCACUCAUUUAGAUACUGGCUAAGUAGAGUUUGCAGUCAGAUUAACAUACAGUAUGCAUUCAUUCCAUUAAACCCUAAUGGAGUGAAUGAAUAAAAUGACUUUUAUUAAAUGUUCCUCUACUACUUGGAUGCUGAACUGGAGUAUUGGAGGUUCCCACAUUGCCCCAUUGUUGGUAUAUUCACCACAAGAAUUCACAGUUUUAUCGAGGGCAAUAUUCCGUCGGUGUGUGAUUGAUAGUACUUCGGUAAAUUAUUUACCGACUAAAUUACCGACAGAAUACGUCUGUCAGCUUACCUUUCAUCGGUGAUUCCACAUUCCGUCGCUUUAUUGAUCGGAAAAACAAAAAAAAUCAUUUACCGACGGUUUUACAGACGGAAUUUGCGUGCCAAAAAAAAAAAGUUUCCCGCUUCAAAAAUACCGACGGAUUUUUAUUCCAUCGGUGAUAUCACAAGUCACCGACGGUUACUUUCCGUCGGUAAAUUAGUCGGUGAAUUGUUGAAAUACCGAUAGAAUAUAUUGUCUGUCAAUUCGUCGGUAACUUGUAAUACCGACGAAAUUAUUCCAUCGGUAAAUCUGUUGGUGAGUCAUGAAAACACCGACCGAAUUUAUCUGUCUGGAAAUUUGUCGGUGAUGGUUGCGGCUACUGUCUAAUACCGACGGAUUUAUUCCGUCGGUAAAUCCCUUUAUAAUUUUUUUUCUAUUUUUUUUAAUAAUUAUUUAGAAUACAUAAUAUAAAAAGGAUAUAAAUUAAUGGUAAUAAAAACCAAUUAUGCAAAUAAAAUUUAUAUUAAGCAUCAAAAACAAAAAAUGAAAGAUAAAUAAUAUUCAUUACAAAAUGAAAUGUUUCAAAAAAACAUUAAAUGAAAUUUUAAAUGUAAAUAAUGUUUAUUAAAAAUUAAUAUAGAGGAGGAGGAGGUGGAGGACGCUGGCUGUUAGGCGGCCAAAAAGGAUUGGGUGCACAUGUUCCACCUUGUGCCAUGUUCAUGACUAUUUGACGAAGCUCUUCAUAGGUCGCUCAUUAUUGUUCAGAAUCUGCUCUGCAUUGUUCUUUGAGUUGUGUGUACGCCUCUGACAGGUGGUCGCACUUUUGCUGCAAGGCCAUGAACUCCUUAGAUUGGGAGCUCGAUACUGAUUGGGAGCUCCUGACGGUUGAAGCAGUAUGGGUCGUCCGCAAGUUGUCGGUCGUAGUGUUGGAGAGCCCGUAAACCCGAUUUUUAUCGAGUCCACUUGAUGAUCCAGCCUCCAUCCACAAAUCCGGAUCGAAUUCCGGAUGGGUCGAAGGAUCGUCCCUGUAUGUCUCCCUCAACCGAUUAUUAUAGGUCUCCUGAAAAUAAAAUAAAAAGUAAUCAUCAUAUUCAAUUCAAUAAACAUAAUAAUAACUUACAAAAUAAAAUUGUUGAACAAACAUACCACAAAAUGUUGAGCACGGCUGUCAACGAACUGUUGCACCCCCUGUUGGCGGUCUUGACUCCGCACGUGCGUCUCCACAAAUAGCUCCAUAGGGCUCGGCUCACGUCCAAGAGACAUAGCCUAUAAUGAAAAAAAUUUAUUAACAACAAAUUAAUUAAACGAUAUAUUUCAUUUAAAUUAAUCUUACCAUCCGUUUUGCAUGUGCAGCAAACGGAACGGAGCCGCCGGUGUGCGUUGUCACCGAGCCAUGAAUUGGCAGAUUCCAGUUGCCAGCACCGGACUAUGAGCAUCGUGUGAACUGCUCAGACGUCACGUGCUGAAUAUAGUGCGGCCAUAUAUCUUCCGGGAAGUAUAUCGGUUUGAAAUCCCUCCAAACCGCAACAUCGUUCCAGCCUUGGAACCCCCUAUCCCUCGCAGGUUUUUUUGCCUUUUUUUAGGCUUCGUACCAAAAAUCACGCAACCUACUUCACGCAAGCAAAAAUUACAUUUCGAAACAUAAAUUUUUUUGUAAAAAAAAAAGUUGUAUUGUUUUCGUUGUUACCUAGUUGCUGCGUGAUUUUCCUACACCCUCCUCACAACAGUGUUAUAUUCCUCGUUCCAACAUAAUCGAUUAUGUGUAUAAAAAAAUAAUUUUUAAAAAUGUUAAUAAUUUAUUUACAAUUAUAUUAAGAAUUUAUUAGAAAUAAGCUGAAAAUUAUAUAUAACACGAACCUGAAAUCUGGAAAACCAUGGAUUGAUUUGAGGCAUCCAUUCAGGAUGCCUGGUUAUCUGACUCCAAUGAAACAAUGGAUUCUCCAUCGAUGAUUUAAACACCGCUGAUAUUACUCGGGCGACCUCAAUGUUUGUGAACCUGAAAAGAAAUGAAAUUAAUUAAAUAGUGACUUCAUAAAUUAUGUUUUUAAUUUUUUUUUUUAAAAAAACUAAAACCUUAACAAACUGACAUUGAAAGAUCGUCUUUUCAUUAUGCCUUGUACUUGCAGGAAAAUCGAUUUCGCUGUGAAGGCACGCCGCUUUUGGGCUGUGAAACAACGCUGGAAGAGGCAGCAUCGGUUGACAGCACAAGUGGUGUAGGUGCCUCUUCUUGAGAGUCACCUAAGGAAAUAUCUUCCUCGCUGCUAGACGAACCUGAUGCGUCCGGACGUGAAGCUCUGGUUUUCAUUCUGUGCAUCUAACCAGUUUUAUAUAAAUAAUUAUAUAAUUAAAUUGAAAUGUUAAAAAAAAAUUCGGCAACACCUCCCCUAUACUAGAUACUACCCAAAUCCACAAACUUGCAAAUAUUAACAAUAGCCACAACCAAUUGACCCAAUCUAUACUAAUUAUUCCAACAUAUUCAAUUACAAAUCCUAAGGUCAAUUCAACAUUAACAAUUACAAUUCAACAAAUUAUUCAAUAAUUAUGCCAAUACAACAAUAAAAUAUAUUCAAUAAAUUAAAAAAUAAUUAUAAACUAAAAAUUAAAAUCAAUGGAAACAAUUAAACACAAAUUAUGCAAUAAUAGAGUAAAAUUACUACGUAUUCCAACAUAUCCAAUUACUAAUUCUAAGGUAAAUUCAACAUUAACAAUUAUAAUUCAACAAAUUAUUCAAUAAUUAUGUCAAUACAACAAUAAAAUAUAUUCAAUAAAUUAAAAAAAUAUUUUAAACUAACAAUUAAAAACAAUGAAAAUAAUUAAACACAAAUCAUGCACUAAUAGAGUAAAAUUACUAAUUAUUACAACAUAUGCAAUUACUAAUUCUAAGGUAAAUUCAACAUUAACAACAAAUAUUCAACAAAUUAACUAAUAACAAUUAUGCCAAAACAACAAUAAAAAAUUUUCAAUAAAUUUUUUUAAAAAAACUAUAGACUUUAGGGAAGAAAUAUGCAUACCUUAAUAAUGUGUUGAAACAAAAAAUUUAUCUACAUUACAAAAAAAUACAACAAAACAAAAAACAUAAAAAGCAUAAAAAUAACUAUAAAUAAAAUAAAAUAAAAUAGAAAAAACACACAUACCUUUUAAUAUGAUGAAGAUUCACAACCAAGCUUGCUAGAGAUUCAACAAAGCUUGAAGAUUUGAGAGGAAAAAAAUCAAAAUUCUAAGAACUUAUAGAAACCUUAGGUCUAUUUUCACGGGCGACAAGCCCACCCAUACUCACUCUGGUCUAUUUUCACAGGCGACCUGCCCACACUCUCACAUUGGUCUAUUUUCACGGGUGACCUGCCCUUUUUAUUGGGUUUACCUAAGAUCCCAUCUUGAGAUCUAACAAGAACAAAAAUCGGUGUGUAGCUCGAUCAACCUGAAAUCCCAUCUAGUAAUUCCCUUUAGCUAGAGCCAAGGUCUGUGCGGUUAGACUGAACUGAGAUCCCUUCGCCGAUCCCCUUCAACCAGAACCAAAAUCCUUUCCAAUUAGGUUAAACUGAGAUCCCUUUGCCGAUCCCCUUUAACCAUAACCAAGGAAUGUGUGGUUAGACUGAACUGAGAUCCCUUCGUCGAUCCAUUUCAACCAGAACCAAAAUCCUUUCCAAUUAGGUUAAACUGAGAUCCCUUUAUCGAAAAUUAACCAACCAAGGAAUAGUUAGACUGAACUGAGAUCCCUUCGUCGAUCCCCUUCAACCAGAACCAAAAUUUUGGUUAAACUGAGAUCCCUUCGUCGAUCCCCUUAACCAUAACCAAGGAAUGUGUAGGGUUGGGCUAGACUGAGAUUCCUUUCGGCAAUCCCCUCUAACCAGAACCAAAAUCCUUUCCAAUUAGGUUAAACUGAGAUCCCUUUGCUGAUCCCCUUUAACCAUAACCAAGGAAUUAUGUAGGGUUGGGCUAGACUGAGAUUCCUUUCGGCAAUCCCCUCUAACCAGAACCAAAAUCCUUUCCAAUUAGGUUAAACUGAGAUCCCUUCGUCGAUCCCCUUUAACCAUAACCAACGAAUGUGUGUAGCUCGGUCAACCUGAAACCCCAUAUAGAGAUUCCCUUUAACCAAAGCUACAUGAGAUCCCAUCUAGCGACCUCAUUCAACUGGAACAAAAGAAUGUGUAAAAAGUGGUCUCAUUAUAAUGGGUGACCUACCCAAGUGGAAAGGAGGAAGAGUGGUCUCAUUCUUAUGGGUGACCUACCCAGGGGGAAAGAAUAUGAAGUGCGGUCUUAUUAUAAUGGGUGACCUACCCAAAAUGGAAAAAAUAUAAAGUGUGGUCUCAUUGUAAUGGGUGACCUACCCAGAUGGAAAGAAUAUGAAAAAGUGCGGUCUCAUUGUCAUGGGUGACCUACCCAGAUGGAAAGAAUGUGAAGUGCGGUCUCAUUGUAAUGGGUGACCUACCCAGAUGGAAAAAAUAUCAUGAAGUGCGGUCUCAUUGUCAUAGGUGACCUACCUAGAUGGGAAAAAUAUGAAAAAUGGUCUUAUUAUGACGGGCGACCUACCUAGAUGGAAAGAAUGUGAUAUGACAAGUGUGAAAAAUAGGACUUACCUGGCGAAGUCUUGAGGGGAUGACAGAAGAUGGGCUGGAAAACUUGGUGCUUCAUGAUAAUCCCCGAUCAUAGGGUUUGAAAACUUGGUGUUUCCUGACUGCAAGAGUUGAAAACUCGAGGCUUCACGAUUGCAAGGUUGAUCUCUUCAUUUCUUUGGGAUUUUCCUAAUGGCAAGGUUCAUCCCAUCAUCCUUUUAUUCCAUGAUCAAAAUCGAUUCUUUAUUAUCAUCACCAUAGUGCUUCUUUCUUUUUUCAACAUCUUGCUGGACCUCAUUAAGGAUUUUCCUGUAACAAUUCAAAAAUAUAUGCAAAUGGUUUUUUUUUUUUUUAAGGUUAGAUGAUAUGCAUGCAUCCUUACCUGAUUUGAAAUAUAGGUCCCCCCCUCUUUGAUGCUCCAUCGUCAUAGGGUGCCCUUGUUUGUAUCCCAAAACUUUCUUUGUUCUUCCGAUACAUUGGCUCAUUCAUGUGCUAGCCAUCCACUCAGCUGUAAAUGCAGUGCCCAUCCCGAGCUGUUUUUGACAAUUACUGCUUGCAUCGUUCAUCAAGCUUGACCCUUCCCCCAAGUGUGGUACUGCUUGAUUCAUCAUGAAGGAUUUUCUCUCCUGGCUUCUUCUAAGAAUUAUCCUCUGAUUGAUUGUGUGCAUCAUGCCAAUACCCAUCAAGAUUGUUAAUCAGUCAUGAACUUGCCUCUAGUUGAAACAAUACUGUUCAAGUACAUGUUAUCAUUAGCCUUCUUGGAACUCAUUCAGUCAUCCAGUCAUGCAUCUCAUAGCUUGCACUACAAAGGCUCAUGGUUGUAUGCUCAGUGUUCUUCUUAAUAGAUUCCCUUCAACUCAGCCUCAUCAAUGAUGCUGCUUUUAUCACUCAUACUCAUGCAGUGAAGCACUCAUCUGGCUUCAAAACAAGUUAUCCCACAGUCAGUCUUCGAGGUGGGUGCCUUUCUGACAUUCAUUCAAUGCAGUUGUGUGAUAACAUCUUCCGAUAAACAUGUUUCAAAGGAUGACAAUAUGACAUUGUCCUUUAAGUGAAGCAUUGUUCCACAGUCAGUCUUGGUGGUAUGCAUCUUUUCUCCAUUCAAUUACAUUCAUCUGUGUAUCUUCAUCGAUCGCUAGCCAUGUUUCAAAAAUGAUGAUAUGAAAGUGUCCUUCAAGUACAUCUUGUUUCUCCAUUGCCGACAGGGUUCACUAAGCAUGGGCCAUUUUGGAAUGACAUUGCCCCCAGUAUGAUCUGAAUGUGCUCGUUCAUUGAUUAUCUGUCUUUGAACAUCAUUGUCUUCAGUUCACUGAUUCAUCAUUUAAUCAUUGCCUCAUAGCUGAUCUGAGCACUGCUUGUUUUUCCUUUUCAAGGUCUACUGUAUUGCCCCCAGCUGCUCAACUUUUCAAGGAGUGUCGAGGACUUCAAUGUCAUUUCUAUCAACGAUUUUGCAUACUCAAUCAAUGUUCUUCUGUGUUUGAUAAUCUUCCUUGUUCUGGAAUCAACUCUCAUAUUUCAAAGAUCAUGUCUAUUCAAAGUCUAGUUUGUUGAAAUGAAAUCAGAGAUGUCCUUUUUGAAAAUCUUUUGAAAAUCAAGCUUUUUGAUCAAAGACCCAACACACGUUAUUCGAAAUACACAGUCCUUUGAUUGUCAUGCAUUUUAAAAACAUAAAUUGACCCAAUGUAGGAUUAAAAAUGGUUUUUUCCAUGGUUCUUUGUAUCAAUUUGAAUCCUUGAUAUUGGGUAUAUCAUUUGAUAGUCUAUGAUGAGGUGACCUUUUCGUGAAUUUCAAAAGCAAGGCACUCAAGUCAACACUUAGGCUUUAUCAAGAAAGGUUGUUUCUCUUCUUAUAACUUGUUUUAUCAGCAUGCAUAAUAACCAAUAGCUUAAUUCAUGAAGUCACGACCCUUAUGGAAAAGCUCUUCAAGUUUUGAGAGCGCCAUUUAUCGGUUCAAAUUGCUUGCUUGAUUAAAAAGGGCUUUUAAAAGCAUGUAAUGCAGGCUAUGGUUCAUGGCUAUGAAAGAAAAGGAAUCUCAAAGGCUCAAAAGGUGUUUGAGGGUUUCAAAGACCUAGGAUCAACAUCAAUUAUUCAUCAACUCUUUUUUAUUGUUGUCUUUAUAGAGGAAACGACAUAUAACCUUGUUAACCUCAAAGAUCAGACUUCACUUAACAUAAGUCAUAAUGCAAAUCCACCUUUCCUUGAUGAAUAACCAACCUUAAUCAUCUGAUAACAUCAGAGGCUUUAUAAUGGACACCAAAAGUCACGUUUAUAACUUAGUCUUUUUUCUGGUAUUGAGUUUUGUUGUGCCUUUCCUUGAUUGAAAUUUCUUUUGCUCUUCAUAGACUUGAUAGGCGUUCUCCUUCCUUUAUCUUUGACUUGUAUUUAAGUGAGGGCAAAUUUCAACUUCCUUUUUUUUCAUUCUCUUUUUUUUCAUAGCCUUCCUCAAAAUUUUCUUAUAUGCCCCCAGUCUAUGUGUUUUCUUUUAUUUCUCUCUCAAUCAUUGGACCUUUGUUCUAAACCUUCCCCUUUAUCCAUUAAUUAUAUCAAUGUCUCCAACAAAUCUCUCAUCUGCCCCCAGUGUGGGGUGUGAUCCUAGUCAUGGUUUUUUUUUAAAGAAAAUACUUUACCAGGCUCAAAAUGGGACUACAAGGGAUAUAAUCUUUAGAAAGUGAAGGGAUAUCAAAGAUGGCCUUUUCUCAUUUCAAGCAAGGUCGGUUAGAACCGAUAAAUUUUGACCCAUCCAGUGUAAUGAUUGGGACUUGUAAGAAUCAUGAUUCACGAGUCCAUAACUACCGAAUCCACUACAUGUCAUUAUGCAUACUGUUAAAACUUAGCUAUAUGAUGUGUGGUUCAGUUUCAGGAGGUAUGAGUUCAAAAUUGUUUAGUCACCUCAUGUCAUUUUCAAGCAUCGAGUCAUUUCUGUAAUCAAAACACUUUUAAUCUUCAGGAUUGAUUAACCUUUAUCGCAUGUUGGAGUUUGAUCAAAAUAUUUUGUCAGAAUAAAAUGCUAAACAUCUGUUGAUUUCAAAACAACAAAGAGACAAAAGCAAGGCAUGUUUCGUUGAAGGAUGAGAUGUGAUCCCAAAACAAAAUGCAGAAUUCCAUAACAAUAUGAUUGAUUGUUCAUCACCAUUCUUGAAUCAGCUUUUCUGGCAAUAUCUGUGUUUUGCCAAGCACUUUCGAUCACAUGUCAUUUUGAAGAUGUUCGGGGGACAAUAUAGCCAAUGACACCCUCCUUCACCGACUCCACUUGUCUCUUGCUCACCAACUUUCGGACUCAAUUCUUGCAAUUCUUGCAAUUGUUCACUUGAAAUGGUUGAGGACCCCACCAUGACAUCAUAUCUCUUGUCUGGAUUAUACCACCUAGAAAACGGUGGUUGCAUGGGAUUUGUCGGAGUCUAGCAAGUCUAGAAUCUGGCAGAUGCUGGCAAAUAAACUCAUAUGACAACUAUUCAAUUGAAAUUCUUGCAACUAUUCCAUUGAAAUGGCCGAGGACCCAACCAUGACAUCACAUCUCUUGUCUUGAUUAUACCACCUAGAAAAUGGUAGUUGCAUGGGAUUUGUCAGAGUCUAGCAAAAGUCUAGAAUCUGGCAGAUUCUGGUAAAUAAACCCACAUAGCAAAGAAUGUCUAUCUUUGGCAAAGACAUUGGAGUAGUCGAUGAUACAACAAGACUUGGUUGGACCAACAUAAUUAAGGUUUUCCAUCGUCAGAUUCUUCUUUUGAUUCAUCUCUCAUCGUUUCUCUAGAAUCCUUGGCAGAACCUUCAAUCUUUCCCAUCUUGAUAGCUUGUUCAAUUUUUGGCAAUCCACACAACUUCAUGUCAAUCUUCCAAUGUUGUUGUUGUUGUUUUAGGAUUGUUGGAAACCCGUCAAUAUCUAGGUAAUCCUGGCAGUGCGCAAAAACAAAAAUGUAUGGAAUCAUAUAUUGUCAAAAUUGGAAGAGAAACUGAUGAAUCCACAACUCCUCUAUUUCCUCUUUGAUUCCUCACUGACGGUGCAACAAACAUCCACUUUUGUGUUUUAAUGCCAAUACUAGUAGGAGAAAAUUGUGGACAAUCUGAAAACCACUGCAUCCCUUCUUGGAUUUCCCAUUUACAGAUCCAUAAAUAGAUUCCUGCCGAGAGAUCUCUGCAACGGUGAAGUUUGAUGUCUGCUCCAUGUUUUUCAAACCAAAUCUGGCUCUUCAACAUGCUACAGUUUCUUCAUGCUGAAACUAAUGAGAGAAAUAUUUGUAGCAUAUGCAAUUAGUAAAUCCUCUCUUGCACUCUCAACUUGCAACAUCAUAAACAGAUUUCUGUAGAGAAAGCUCUGCCACGUUGAAGUUCGACGACUACUCAUAUUUUCAGACCAAGCCUGACUCCUCUGCCUAGUACGAUGUUUUGCUCGUGCCACUGGUGGGAAAAAAGUUUCAAAGCAUAUGAAAUUAAUACAUCCUCUUUUGUAUUUCCCAUUGGCAGAUCCAUAAAUAAAUCUCUACAAAGAGAGCUCUACCACGUAGAAGUUCAGUGUAUGAUCAUGGUUUUCGGACCAACAUCUUGUGCUGCUGACUGAAAUUGAGCUCAUAAUUAGGGUAACUUCAAAGCAGACUAAUGCACCAUGUACAGGAGGCUAGUAGUUGUUUGGUUCCAUUAGAUGAUGUGGAGGCGAUGAACACUUAACAGUGCAACUAGACAAGAACUAGAGUUGUCAUUAGUUGAUGACUGAAGGCAUUGUUGCUGUUGUUCAUGACUGAAAAGGAGAGGCAACUUCAAUUGAACGUGGACAAGCAGUGUUCCCACAGAAGACUGUGUAGACAUUCUCUUUCCAUUUGAUGCUCGACACUUGUUCGAGCAGAUCUGAGUCUAGCUACUUCACCUUUGAUGCUCUCAACCUCAAUCUGAUAAUGAGCCUCUAUCUAACACUUUUCUUCACCUCUAUCAUUUUUCUUCAAUCACGUGCAGCACAGCUUGUGCGGGGGACCUACCUUUCAACCUGGUACAUGCAUGAUAAAUGUAUGAAUAUGUAAUCUAUAUGACAAACUCGCCCUUCGAGGGGUGACAUAUGGUCGCAACUCUUGUAUGAUGAAACAAGAAUCUUGAUUCUUGCACAAACUCUACAAUGAAAAUGUUCUGAGCGACGGUCAUUGUGUCACCCAUAAGUCUGGAGUUCAAGAUGCUUCAAAAAGGGCUUGCUCGGAUGCAAAACAAUGUAUACGGAGCAUACAUCCUAAAGGUAGAUUCUAAUCUUUUUAAGUGAGACAAAAGGUAGGAUAUCAUCUUCUUCAUCGACAUUUGCUUGUCCGCUAGAGCUCAAAACAACGUUCAACUCCUCUACGUCAACAUCAACAAGACUAUCAUCGAAAACACGAAAAUUUGAAUUUUCUUCCAAUUCAAUCGAAGGAGCAACUCGAUAUGGUUCAACCAACUCACUAACUUGAAAGACUUCAUCCCACACACUUGUGUCUUCGUUCUCAUCCUAAACAACCUCGACACGACCCCGUGGUUUUGUUUUUAAAACGAACAACCAAUCAACUCUUGAUCGAUCCUUUCUAAAUGAAGGGGUGUAUGUGUAAUAAACUUGUUGACAUUACUUUGCGAAAACAAAGACAUCGUUUAUGUUGCAGAGUCUAGCUUUUGAGUUGAUUUCGACUAGACCAUGGUGUGUAUCAACUCUGAUUCCUCUGUCCGUCGUGUCAUACCAAUAGCGUUUGAAUAAAAACACUGUAUUCUGCUCGCUAUGAUAUUGUAGUUCGACGACCUCUUCUAAUCUUCCAUAGUAGUCAACUUUUAACUCACUACUUGUGGAUCCUUUAACACAAACACCACAGUUGUAUGUCUUUCUUCAUUGCCCGUAUUCUUCAGUAUGGAAAACAUAUCCAUUGACAAAAUACUUGUUAUAGCACUUAACUUUUCUUUCAGGCCCGAGGCUUAGUGAAGGCAAUGACUUAGACGCACUUCUUCCCAUUUGAUAAACCUUGUAUACAUGUAAUGUACAUCAAUAAACGGUAAAUGAACGAGAAUCUUGUAAUGACAUGCAUACGUACAGUAAUUUUGCAAGUUAGAAUGAGUUUGUGAUAGUGCUUACAUGUGUUCUAAACCAUGUGGCAAAUUGUUCAUCUUGUAAUUGAAAGAUCUGGGAGUCGGUCAGCUGCGAGUUAUUGGAGAGCAAAUAUUGUCGAUGUUGCCUGCAAGUGAUAAUGAGUGUAUGAUUUCACAAUAUAUAAUUAGCAGUAUAUUACUGACAAAGUUUAAAUAGUAUUACACAUAUAUAAACUUACUGAAUAAAUGGUCUUAACUCUUCACAGUUAAAUAGAACAUAGUUGUGUGCUUGUUUGAAUUCUAUUUCCGACAAAUAUCUUCCUCUUGUCGCACGUCAAAAACAAAUCCGUGCGCGGCAUCGACUGGCGAUUAUUCGUUCUGUUUUGCUGAUUUGGUUCUUUAGAGUCGCCACCUAGUAAUUCAUUGAGGGCUACUAGGAAACCUGAUGUACUGGACUUGUCAGAGAUCGCGGGUAAGGGACUGGUUGUGGUUAGGGAAGGUAUUAGCACCCCUAACGCACCCUACCUGAGGUAAGCUGCUUUGUGGACUUGAUGUGUUAAAGAAGUUUUAAAAAUUAUGUUCUUUCAUCGAAUUUUAGAAAAUACAACUUACAUGUAAGUUCAUAAUUCUUUAUCCGUGAUCAAAUCAGAAUAUUAAAUUCUUCUUUAUUCUUGCAAUUUUAUCAUAAUAAAAAAAACAUUCAUAAACAAAAAUACACACCACAUUCACUUUCAAGCUUUGUGGACUUGAUGUGAUAUUAAAAAUAAAAUUUUAGCCCAAUUAUAAGGCUUUGAUAAAUCAGUUAUUACUUUUCCAGACUAUUAUGUAGAUACAUGUUCUACAUUUCCAUGGAAAAUUCAACAUGAUUUUUAUCUGUCCUUUAGAUAUUUGUGCAUAUAAAAUAAAUUCCUUUUUUUUUAUUCAAUAACAUUCAAAAAAAAAAAUACAAGCACACAAACAUUUUUUUUAUUAUUAUUAUCACUUUCUCUGUCUUUUCUUUUCUUUUCUUUUACAUCCUUUUUUUUGUUCUUUUUAUACAUUACCUUACAAAUUAUAAAAACAAAUCAAACUAAAUAAAAAUGACAUUACAUAAUUUACAAUUUACAAAAACAGUCCCUAAACUCAAGAAAUUGCAUUGAAGGACACUGCCGGAACUGCCCUGAACUUGUGGCGGCGCGUCUUCCCACGUGCCACCGUCACUGGCGGCGCGUGAAUCUAGAAACAGCGGGAUCUGGUUCGGCUUCUCUCCUUCUUCCUUUCCUCGCCAGCGGUGAGCAACGCCGUCACCUGUAGAACACAAAAACGCAAGCAACAGUCUGUUUUAGUUAAUUUUUAGAUCUGUUUUCCAUCAUUAUCUGCUUCCCUUUCUUCUUUCUCCGGUCUAUUCUUGGGGAUUCACCAUCUUCUUCUCUGCUCAGGUAGUCGGGCGGCGGCUGGUUGAUGGUGGAUCUAUGGCCGGAUGUGGACGGCGCUGCUGGAGGAAGGCGUUGCUGCCUGAUUGUCGGUUGCGGUUGGUGCUGGACCUGUGGGGGCUGCCGUUGAAGGGGCUGGAAGUCAGAUCGUCUGAGAGAGAGGAGUGGUGGUUGAUUCUCCGUACCUGGCGAGAAGAAAAGGAAGUCUGAUCUGGGAGGAUCGGCCGGGGAAGCGGCUGAAGGAAGAAGAAAAACCGAAUCUAGAGGGGGGGAAACGGCGACCAGUUUUGAAAGGAAGCAGGUUCGGUUUUGGCCAGCGUUAUGAUCACGAUCGGUGAUGGGGUUCGGUGAGGAGGGGAAGAUCGGCUGUGGAGUGUGGUGGUGAGCGGCUGAAAAAAUCAAAGAAAAGGGGGCUCUGGUGAGGCCAAGAAGGAAAAAUUGAUUCGCCGGCUGUAAAAGGGAGAACCGGUUUUGGUUUGGGUGUGUCUGUGUUUGGUGCCAUGUCAUGUGCUCAGUAGUCCUUCGUGACAUGAAUAACCUCUGCAGUCUAGGUGUGAUCGGGAAAUAUCUAAGUUUUUCCCCUGCCAGUUCUGGGUUUGUAACGGGAAUACCCGCAUGUCAUGCACUCGGUCAUCUCAGCAUUUUCAAGGUAGUAUAACAUGUAGAAGUUAGGGCACAUGUCAAUUUUAUGGUAUCCUAAACCAAGGGGUUUCAUCAUGGACUUCGCAACAUAGAAGUUCUCUUUCAGCCUGUUCACUUCAGGUAAAAUGCUUCUUGCCCAAUCAAUAAUUUUUUCAUACCCGGCCUCACUCAGCCCGUGAUCUGACUUGAUGGUGAACACCUGUGCCACGGGCGACAAUUUACUGUGGUUUGUGCAGCCAUCCCAUAAUGGUUCGUCAGAAUCUUUCAACAAAUCAAAAAACCUAGCUGCCUCUGCAUUAGGUUCUUUUUCUACGAUUGGACAUUGAUUGACAUUACCUUGAUUCAUUCUCAUUGCAUCCAUAACCACAUUUCUGUAAGGAUUAGUGUUGUCAUUUCGCUUCAUGCACGUUGCUAGCACUAGAAGUUGACCCAACCACCGUUUCUCUCAUUCUCCUAUUACUAACAAAUACCUCUCCAUGUGCAUACCAACACUGGUAAUCCUCAAACCCUUUGUGUAGAAGAUGCAUCAUUACAACAUCUGGAUGCAGAUACUUUUUAUUUUGACACUUCCUGCAUGGACACCUAAUACCGCCUCCAGUAAAAUUUCUGGGAAUAGAUGUUGCGAAAUUAAUAAAACCCUGAACCCCGUUACAAUAAUCCAUCCUCCGCAAUCCUUGGGUGAAUCUAGAUACAUCCAUGAACGAUCAUCCAUGACUUCUAUCGAACCUCUAUAAAAUUAUGAUGACAUCAUGUAUUAAUUAACUAAGUUAGGUAAAUAAACUUGCAAAAAUAUUACUUUACCUCGAGAUUAUCCAACAAACCAAUCACAACUUCUCAUAAAUAUUAAAUAUUCAUUAUCAUUUAUCAACGUCCAUACAAAUUAAUAUAUAUAAAUUAACAGAAAUUACCACUCUGCAAUACCAUCGAUAAAACUUAAAAAGGACCCAUUAAGCAAGCUAUUAAUUAUUUCAAAACAGAACAUGUAAUUCGGUAAUUCCACAAAGUUUUAACAAUUUACAAACAAAUACAAUCUUACAAAAUCUAAAACAAACCAUAACAGGUAUAAAAUUAUACAUUCAUAUACUACAAGUUUGUUUGAGAAAUAACAAUAAAACAUGUACAUCUACUAACAAAAAUACAUAUACUAAAAAACAAUAAAAUUGACAUUUAAAUGUUAAAAUUUAAAUAGAUAGAAUUACUUACAAAAAUUGAUAAAAUCCGUCGGUAAAUCAGAACACGGAUGUUGUGACCACAAAAUUUCAAGAAAUACAACUUGUUGUGUUGAGAUGAGCAAGAUUUUUAUUUGGGGGCAAGGGGGGGCUGAUUAUUUGCAGAUGGGGAGAGUUAGGAUUAGGAAGAAAAAGGAGAUAUGGGGAAGGAGAGUGUCGACAGAGUGGCCAUAUAUUUACUUUUUCCGACGGCCUCAUCGACGGAAUAACACCGUCGGUGACUCCGUAGGUCAUUCCGACGGGAAAUCGACACGUCACCGCACGAACCUGCUUUUCAAAUCCCUCGGUGAUUCCGUCGGUAUUUUUUAUGGUGCAACGGUCGCGUCACCCAUACGGAUCUGCCGUUUCAAUUCUGUCGGUGAUUCCGUUGGUAUUUUGAAGUCCCAUGACACGUACUUGUCAACCAUUUUGAAUCCGUCGGUGAUUCUGUCGGAAAAAUCACCCGCCAAACCUCCACGUCAGCUACCCGCCCUUUUUUCAUUAAUUUUGAUUAUUCUGUCCGUAAUUCGGUCGGUAAUUACCAACCAAAUGACGGACAGAAUAAUUCCAUCGGUAAUUUCGACCGAAAAAUACCGACAAAAAUAUUCCUCGGGGAUUCCGUUGAUAUUAAGCGAAUUUCUGGUAGUGAUUUGAGCAACUCUGAAACAUGAAGCUAGUCAAUAGGCGUCUAUAAGUUGUACAGAGAUUUUACAAUAGAAACUAUUCAAGUAAGAUUUUGGUGCAAUCAGUAUUCUAUAUGCACGAACAAAUUUGGGGCUUCACUGUACUACCUCAGAUACUCUCAAAAAAUGCUUCUUGGAAUUCGGAAGUUUAGACGAUCAUCGGUUAACAUGUCUGGUGUUGGUGCUUCAUGAAAUGAUGUUACCGUUUCUCUUUCUGAACGUUAUUCCAGGUUGGAAAUUCAAGUAAUUAGUUCAAAUCCUAGAAGAUGAGUGGUGGCUUAGAAUGCUGUGAAAAAAUCGUUCCCCUGUUCAUUUUUCAAAUUAGAAAAGACAUAACUUUUUGCUUGAACUUCUAGAAUAUAAAAAAAUCUUACUUUUAUAUCUAGACACUUUCCAUCUAUGAUCUUUAAAUCUGAAGACAUAUCAUCUGGUUUUAAGAAAGUGCUAUUAACAUACCAAACUUUAUUAGAUUGUUGUUGUGCACUUAGGAAGAAAUAAAAUACUUGUCCUCUAUUGUUUUCAAUAGCAUGAUCAGCUUCAUAGUUUUCUACGUUGUCUUUUUACUAGAAGUACCUUCGUGAAUGUUGGGAAUUUCUGUCUUUUGCAUCUAUACCAGCACUCUUUUACUUAGUGUCCACCUCAUUUUCAAGUUCAUGUCGCUGGAUCCAGCGGUCAAGAGAAAAUCAUGUCAUUGACACUAAUUUAGACCAUCAAAAUGAUUGAUAUUUGUGUUAAAUGGUUCCUUUUAACUGAGAGAAUUCAUAUUAGGUGUUUUUCUUACCUUUAAAGUUUGUGAAAAAACAAAUAUUAUCUCAAGCUGAUUUUUGGUUUCAUGUUCAUUUCUAUUUUUUAGAGGGUUUGUUGGUUUUUUAGGCUAAAAAUAUGUUUAUCAUGGUUCUUAAGGUUUUUUAUAGGUGUUUUGGGUCAAAAUGAGUUUUGAGUAAAAAAACUUAAGCCUUGAUUUUUCAACCACUACAGUGGUUGGAAUCCGGAUAAGAUCAGACGACGCGUUGUCUGUCUCAAUAGGCAACGCAUCAUCUGAUUGUUUUAAAAAAAUAGAGGUGGACGACAUGUCAUCUGCUCUAAGUGCAGCGAAAAAAAUGGGUCCAGUUAGGUGAGCCCUAAUGAAAUGGGCCAGGCCAGGCAACACUUGACCGUUUUUUCCCUUAUUUUUUUCAAUUCAUCCUUAUUUUUAUAUGUUUUUUUGUAAAAUAAAAAAAUAUUUAUAUUUAGAUUAAUACCUCUUUUCUUUUUGUAUUUUGUUCAGAAAGUCUUUUAAAUGAUGAUUAUUUUUUUGUUAUGUUUUUAAUUUUUGAAGAGGUCUUUCUGAUUCAUUUAUAUUUUUUUUAUCGUUUAUGUAGAAGAAUUAUAUUUUUGAAAAUAAAAAAUAUUUAUUUUCAAAUAAUAUUUCUACAGAGAGGUCGCUGGAUCCAGCGAUAAAAAAGAAAAUCAUGUCGUUGACACUAAUUUAGGCCACCAAAAUGAUUGAUAUUUGUGUUAAAUGGUUCCUUUUAACUGAGAGAGUUCAUAUUAGGUGUUUUUCUUACCUUUAAAGUUUGUGAAAAAACAAAUAUUAUCUCAAGCUGAUUUUUGGUUUCAUGUUCAUUUCUAUUUUUUAGAGGGUUUGUUGGUUUUUUAGGCUAUAAAUAAGUUUAUCAUGGUUCUUAAGGUUUUUUAUAGGUGUUUUGGGUCAAAAUGAGUUUUGAGUAAAAAAACUUAAGCCUUGAUUUUUCGACCACUACAGUGGUUGGAAUCCGGAUAAGAUCAGACGACGUGUUGUCUGUCUCAAUAGGCGACGCAUCAUCUGAUUUUUUUUUUAAAAUAGGGGUGGAUGACAUGUCAUCCGCUCUAAGUGCAGCGAAAAAAAUGGGUCUAGUUAGGCGAGCCCUAAUGAAAUGGGCCAGGCCAAGCAACACUUGACCGUUUUUUUCCUUAUUUUUUUCAAUUGAUCCUUAUUUUUAUAUGUUUUUGGUAAAAUAAAAAAAUAUUUAUAUUUAGAUUAAUACCUCUAUUCUUUUUUAUUUUGUUCAGAAAGUCUUUUAAAUGAUGAUUAUUUUUUUGUUAUGUUUUUAAUUUUUGAAAAGGUCUUUCUGAUUCAUUUAUAUUUUUUUUAUCGUUUAUGUAGAAGAAUUAUAUUUUUGAAAAUAAAAAAUAUUUAUUUUCAAAUAAUAUUUCUAAUACGUGUAGCCUUGCAUAAUGUUUUUUUUUUCUUUUUAUUUUAUUCAAUCAAUCUAAUGUGUUUGUCCAUUUCUUUUAUCAAUUGAUUGAAUAAAAAUACAUUAUAAUAAUCGUGUAAAUAUCCAGUCUUGCGAUAUUAAAUAUCUUGAUCCACACAUGUAUCUUGAUUUUUCAAGUUUUAUUUUUAAGUAUUGUUAAUGACUUAUUAUUAAUUUAUUAGCACACAUAGUUCUCGGUUUACUUGAUUACAUGUAUUUUUGAUCUACACUUCAAUUUUUUGAAUUAUAGAAAUGCAUUGAAAAAACUUAUUUAUAUAAUGUUUUUAUAGAAAAUAAAAAUAUCUGAUCCGUAACGGAGCGCGGUUCAUAUAACUAGUAAAUACUAAAUUGAAGUGAUAAAAAAUAACAUAAAGCACAAGUAAAUUACAUAUACAAGUGAUCAAUGAUAGAGGCUCCUCUAUGUAUAGAUAAUGGAGCAUUGAUUCUUAAGUUUAGGGAGACACAUGGUGCCCGUGUCAGUUUAUAUUGGAUCCUGUGCUUGUAAGUAAUGAUGGAUUCUCAUGAGUCCUACUAUUUAACAUGCUUAAGAAUAAAGUUGACAUGUUGGAUAAUUGAUUGAUCUCUUAGUUCAAGUAAUCUGAUUCAUUCUUCAUAGUUAAUGUAUCUAGUGACUUGAUAUAAAAAGCCUAGUGGGUUGGUAACUGGUAGCAUGUGAUGUCUAGUAAGCUAGGUGACAGGUAACUAGUACCUAUAAAAAGUCCCAUUUGAUGGACGUGGGGAUUCUCAGAUGGUAAAGUCGAUAACUUUAUGGAAAGAGAAAGUGCAAUAAUAUUUUAAAGAGAUAUACUCUGAAAAUAUAUACAGUUAUACACAAUAGAAAAUGAAGAGAUUGUGAACCUUUAACUUGAUGGAUUCAUGGUGUAUUUAUAGCUUAUAAAUUUUAUCCUUUUAUGGAGAGGAGGGGCUGAAGUGUAAUUUCAAUAUUGUGAUAUUUUGAGUUGUAUUCCACUCAAAAUAAUAUGUAUUUGAUCAAUAUAAAAUAUCAAAAGAUGUAAGUUGGAUUUUGAAAAAUUCUCUAGUGAGUAUUGGGCUCGGAUAAGGUGCCCGAGCCCAUUGGAGGUGAAAGCAGGUUCGGGAGUACUACCUGGACUCAAACACACUAAGCUCAGGCGUGAAAACCUGUUCCCAUGAUGGCUAUAGGGUGCAUGCCCAACACCAUUUGGGCGUACACCCUACAUAGGUACACAUACAUUGGGGUGUAUUGAGCGUACAUACACUGGGCAAAUGCCCAAUGCACUGCAUAAUGCCCAUGCAUUAGACGUUCAUACGCCCAUUAAGGAGCAUGGGCUUGGGCUCCUUGCCCGAGCCCAUGUUCUUGGUGCGUGGAUAGCCCGAGCUCAUGUUCCUUGGGUGGUUUUUGAGUUUUUUUUUUCUCUUUUAGAGGAUUUCUUUGGGUCUAUUUUGAGGGAUUUUUUUGGUCAAUUUUAUUUGUAUCCAUCAGAUUCUAUUAUCAAUUUAAAAAGUCUGAAGUGAUAGAUUAAAAAUAUAUUUUGUAUAUAAGUUCCUCAUUUUCCAUUCGUAACCCAACAACACAUCUUGAAACAUUAAACUGACUUAAACCUUCAAAUAGAGAAUUGAAUUUUAAUGAAAUUUAACCUUUUUUUACAAUAUCUGACACUAAGCAACGAAUAGCUUCUAUAAAGAGGAUUUUUUAGGGAUUUUUUUUUAAUUCUUUUCUAUUUAGUGUAAGAAGUUAAAUUUUAUGUUUAAUAUUUUUAUUUUUCAUAGUUUAUUUAGAAUUUUUAUUAAUUUUUUUAUUUUUAGGUUUCUAGUUUGUUUAGGUUAGUUUUUUAAGUUUAUUUAAGGAGUUGUAAACCUCUUAGUAAGGAAAACUACAUGAACAUAAAAUAUUCAGUAAUAAAAUUAUAAUUUAGGGUUUUGUGUGACAAUUUUAUUUAACUUCAAUGAUACUAGUGGUUAUGUCUUUAUAGCUUAUUGUUUUUAUGUUUGUGUUUCCGUUUAUGUUAGUUGGUAUUAAAGUUCAAUGAUACUAGUGGUUAUUCGCUUGCUAUGUGCUAGAAUAACAAUGAUUAGAAAAUGCUAUGUGCUAAAAUAACAACUCUAAAAUAAAGAAAAUGUAAUAAAAUUUCUAAAAAAACUAAGAGAAAUAAAAUUACUUCUUUCAUGAAUUCAAUCUUGAUUUAUAAUAGAACUCAUGUUUGGAGGCACUUAGGCCUUUUCAACACAGUUAUUUUAUAAUUAUCUAUUUAGAUGGAAGGCAAUUAAGUCUUUCACCAUAUAUAAAAUUAAUUUUAAAAAAAGAUGGUUGGUAAAUGCCACUCACAUGCCAGUAAGUAGGAGGUAUUCAUGUUUUUUAGGCGAUACAUAUGGCACCUUACAAUGGUCAAAUGUCGUUGUUCGCUACAGUGUGUAAAGUAGAGCAUCAUCAUUUUCAAAGUGAUAGGGCACAUAUUCACAAUGGAGGUGAGGUUAAGCUCUGAUGAAUCUUUUUUUUCUUCUUUUUCUUUUCUCUCUCCUAGCCUCAAAAUUUUCACUAGCCCUUUAAAAAAUUAAUUGUGUCAUCCAGUUUGGUCUUUAUUCUUUUGAUUGCUAUUUGUUUUUUCAAUUUUAUUCCUCAUCAUUUUAUCUUGUUUAAUUUUUGUGUCCAAUUUUGGUCCUCAUGCUUUGAUUGCUAUUUUUUUAAUCAUUUUCUUAAUUUAUUUUAAAUUUUAAUUUAGUCCCUCAUUGUUUUAUUUCAUUUAAUUUUUAUGCCAAAUUUAAUCUUUAUGUUUUUUAUUGCUAUUUGUUUUGUUUAUCUAAUUUUGGAUGAUUAGGGAUUUUUCUUGGUAUUUUUUAGAGUUUGCCUUAAAUGGUUUAAUCUUGAUCUCAUAACUCAAGUCACUAGUUUUGAGAAUUAGCCCGAUUUAACUUCAAUAUUUUUUAUGCCGUUUUCUUAAAAUUGAUUAUUUUUUAAUUUUAUCAUUUCAUUUUAGGUUAUUGGAUCUUGAGUUUCAUGGUUUUUUCCACUUUUCUUUUUCUAUUUUAUCCUAGGUCAUGGGUUUGUUGGGUGAACCCAGAUUCAUUCAAGUUUUAAUUUUUAUUCAGUCUUGAGUUUCAUGGUUUUUAUUUAAUUUUUUUAUUUCAUCAUUCGACAUUGAGUUAUUGGGUCAUUUGAAAUUCAUUAUUAUGCCUUAAGCUUUGUGAUUUUAUUUUUUUUUCAUUUUUCUUUUUGUGGGGUUAACCUAGGUUGACUUCGGAUUUUUUUGGUAUUUCUUUUAUUUUUCUUUGAUCUUUUUUUCUAGGUCAUUUUUAUUUUGAAUAAUUUUUUAUCCCGAUCACAUUAUGUGGAUUGCGAGUUAGUUGAGUGAAUCUUAGCUAUCUCAAUUUGUUUUACGUUGCUUUUUUUUAAUGAUUUUUUUAUUUCAAUUUAAUUCUUUGACAUUAGAUUGUUGGGUCAUGAUCUUAGUGAUUUUUUCCACUUUCCUUUAUAUGAAGUUGGCCCAAGUUACAAGUUAAUCAAAUUAACCCGGUUUAUAUGAGUGGGGCACAAGUUACAAGUUAAUCAAAUUAACUCGGGUGGACUCAAUUGUUUUCUUGACAUUGACUUCGAUCUUUUUAUUUAAGUUUAUUUUUUAAUUUAUUUUUUUUAUUUUGAUCUCAUAUUGAGGGUAGUGGGUAGUUAGGUGAGCCCAGGUUGACUCGUGUUGAUGUGAAUCUCGUGAUCACGUAGUCACGCAACCCACAAUCAAAAUUAAGAUCUAAUCCCGGAAAGCCGAAAUAGAUCUGAUAGGAGUCUGACACAAUGGAAACUUGCCCCAAGGCACCAACACUAUUGGAAUGAGUAGAAUGACGCCACGAAGCCAAUUAAUCUUCGAUAAAUCAGAUUCAAUUCGUUCAAGAACUAAAGAAUGCAAGAAUCACUCUCACACAUUAAAACUGAAAAAUUCAGAAGUAAUAAUCAUCAAAGCUCCCAAAAUUUUGGCUUGCAUGAGUUUAAAUAGUUCUUGAAAAAUUAACCCUAAUGGACCCCUUAUAUGGACUUAUAUGAGGUCCACUCAAAACUGAUGCAAAAUCCUAAACUGAAAAGCCCAUAACUUAAUCCAAACAAGCCUUGGAUCCUAGCUGAAAACAAAGUAUUAAUUAAGCUCAAACAUAAAAGAAAAUAAUAAAAAUAACUAACUUGUCAUUAAAUACCACCAGCCCUUCUUUCUUUGUGUAGUUAGGAUGAAUAAGGGAAUCCUUAUAAGAAAAUUAUUCUAAAACAUUAAUGAAUCAUUGCCACACUUGGAGAAUAUUAUAUUGCAGCUCAUUAAAGAUCCUUAAGGAACUAGGAAAUUCCCAAAACAAGCUCCCACAUCCUUGUAGGAAAAUGAUCCUUGCUGAACAGGAAGUCCACAAGUUAAAAGGAAGUAAAUAAUAGAAUUCGCAUAACCUGUUCGGACCUAUAUUGCAAGUCUUUUCCGAACAUGGAUUCUUCUAAAAAUGUACCCCAACAUAGAAAAACAUUUUUGAAAUCUUCUAGUAAAGUUUCAGCUCGAUCCAACGGUUGGAUUUGAAGUUAUGCUCAAUAAUGUAAAACUGAACGGUAGAAACUUUUACGCCAAAAUCCAAAUCUGACAUUGCUUGGUUCGUAUCACAAGGCUGAACUGUAUCACGUGUUUUUUCUUCGAUGUUUUUAUUUUUAAAUUUUAUUUUUCAAGUUUUAUCUUUUGAUAUUAGGUUAUUGGGUUUUACUUAAAGGAUAAAGGGGGGGUUCAUUGGAAUCUAAAAGUAAGUUUGACAUAUUCAUGAUGAAUAAAAGUACAAAAGUAGAUUAAUUGAAAUAUUAUUAGUUUAAUUAUAUAAAUAUUAUGUAAAGUUCGAUGUCAUUUAUCCACACACAAAAACAAAUUGCAAUAUUAACCCGGAGGUAAGAAGUCUAGGGUAUCUUGAGAAGAGUGAUCAUGGAUCCAAGGUUAAUUUUGAGAAUUUGUUUCAAAGAUGUAAGUAGAGAAAAUAACUUUUUGAUUGGGAUAAAUAUAAUAUUGAAAUUAAAAUUUUGAUAAUUCUAGUUUUUUUGUGAAUCGGAAUCAAAUACCAAAAUUUGAUAAGGAUGAUGAAAAUGAUGGUAAAGAAAAAGAUUUAAAUGCAAAAUUUUUAAUUAGUGAUAUCCACGAGAAGAUAACAAAAAUAGAUGUGGUUACGAUGCAUAGCGUGAAGGAUGUGUGUUUGAGAAAAAAAAUUAGAAUUAAUGAGGUGAAAGCUGAUGCUAUUGCAAUCCAGCUCAUGCAAGACUUCCAAGUCGUUGGCAGUAUCCAAUUCGAAUAUUAUAGACUUCGUCUAAGGUAGUUUACGAAGAAAGUACCCGUAAGACAUGGUUAUAAUAAAAAGUCGUUGGCAGUAUCCAAUCGAAUAUUAUAGACUUCGUCUACGGUAGUUUACAAAGAAAGUACCCAUAAGCAUGAUUACAAUAAAAAGUAUACAUUUCCUGAAAAAAAGAAAUGAAAAACACUACAAAGCUGAGAAAGGCAGACAAUAUCAAUUGUCAAAAUCUAAGGAUACUCAAAUGAGUUUCGGAAGGAAAACCUGAAAAUGUACGAGAGAACACAACCCCAUCAUUGAAGCUGCUAUUUAUAUAUAUAUAUAUAGACAUGAUCUAAUGCUAGCAAGCUGCGAAUCAUAUAUUUUAAGCAGCACACAUUGAGAAAUGAUUUCAGUCUCAUCUUGCCUUUGGGUCAAUUAUUUUAGAAAACACACCCCUUGCUCUUUGAUCUGGAUCACUUUGGGUGACACUUUCACGAGUGCUGAUAAGCCACGAUCUGAAGAAUCUCAAAGUCCACGUCAUUCUAAGAGGAUCCAUAAACCAAAUCCCAAAUAUCUGGGAUGAGCUGAUCGUGAGUUAAUGCAUGCAUAACGGAAGAAGCCAUUAAACAGGGGUCGUGGCUAUCAAGGAGUAAUGGAAGGAGGGGUUACACCCGUUAUAUCACCAUUUAUGGUCAUCAGUUAUAUCUUAAUUAAUUCCAAGUUAUUAGUAGCUUUAUUGUUCCCUUUGUAUUUCAGUUUUAUUUGUAAUUCACUUUGGCUAUUUAAGCAGCUAAAGUUUUAAUAAGAAGAUAUAAUUUCAGUAAAAAAGUGUGGUUUAGUUCUCACCCGAAGAGAACCUUUAUAAUUUGUGCUGGGACCUAACAUUGGUAUCAGAGCACGUUAUGGGAACCAACAAGGAGCGUAUUGAGCACCUGGAAUCUGGACUUGGGAUAGUUCAAGAUGGUCUUCAGAGAAUGGAGUUGGGAGUGAAUGAUAAACUCCAACAUUUGGAAGACACUCUUACUCGACUUGCCAAUAUGUUGAGGCAAAUCAAGAGAAUCCUAACCGCGACAAUUAUCAUAGAGAAGGCAACAAUGGGGGUCGGCAGAUUAUCUCCUCCAAAACAGCAAAACUGGACUUCCACGAUUUUCAGGGGAUGACCCAACCGAAUGGUUCAACCGUGUGGAACAAUUCUUUGAAUACUUGGGCACAGUUGAAAACCAAAAGGUAGCCAUGGCUGCUUACCAUCUUGAAGGGGAGGCCAACCAGUGGUGGCAAUGGCUUCAAAGGACGUUGCAGGGAGAAGGGCAAGUGAUUUCAUGGGCAAAUUUCAAGAAGAGUUAUGGGCUCGUUUCGGACCAUCAGGCUGUGAAGAUUUUGAUGAAGCUCUCUCAAAAAUCAAACAGGAGGGACAUUGAGGGAUUACCAACGGGAGUUCGAGAAGCUUGGAAAUAAGGUACAAGGUUGGACACAGAAAGCAUUAGUGGGAACAUUCAUGGGGGUCUGAAGACAGAAAUUUCUGAAGGGAUUCGGAUGUUUAACCACAAUCCCUCAAGGAGGUCAUUAAUCUAGCAAGAAUGAGAGAUGAGCAACUUACAAGACAGAGGCGGUUCUACGACCAGCACCUCCAAAAAUUCCUCUAGCUCUUCCACCACCCAAUCGGGUAACUCCUGCUAGUCGGUCUACUCCGCUUAGGCGUUUGUCAUGGGAGGAGAUGCAAAGAAGAAGAGUGCAAGGCCUUUGUUUCAAUUGUAAUGAAAGGUUUACAGCCGGGCACAAAUGUCAACAACCUCAGCUACUACUCUUGGAAGGUUACAUAGAUGCUGGUAAUAUGUCCUAUGAAGAUAUUACUUAUCCACAAACCAGGGGGUUUGUACAAGGAGAAGAUACAGUAGAGGCAUGCGAACCAGAAUUGGAACCUGAAAUCACUCUGCAUGCAUUAACAGGGUGGACAGCCCCAAGAACAAUGCGAGUGACAGCGAAGGUGGGCUCUCAUACGGUGAUGGUGUUGAUAGACAGUGGAUCCACACACAACUUCAUCAGUGAUCGCUUAGCAAACACACUACAUCUACCAGUGAAACCAACCAAGUCGUUCACUGUUCGGGUUGCUAAUGGCCAGCGUCUACAUUGCCAAGGACAAUUUGAUAAGGUACCCGUGAAUUUACAAGGCACUGAAUUUUAUCUCACACUCUUCUCUCUGCCAUUAUCAGGGCUUGAUCUAGUGUUGGGCAUCCAAUGGUUAGAAUUGUUGGGAUCAGUGGUUUGUAACUGGAAAGACUUAACUAUGGACUUCAUUUGGAAUAAUCAAGCUCGAAGGUUGCAAGGAGUGGGGAGCAAUCUAUUCAAGAGGCUACUUUAAAACAAGUCUCAAAAGAUUGUCGACAGCAACAGAUGUUAUUUGCAGUAUGUUUCCUUUCAACCACGAGGACAAAAUUCUGAAGGCAGACUAUGGCAAUCAAGACAUACAGCAGUGAUAAAGGAGUAUCAGGAUGUAUUCCAAGAACCCUCAUGCUUACCACCUGUGCGGAGGUGACCAUUGCAUUGCACUUAAGGAGGGCACUGAGCCGGUUAAUGUACGACCCUACGAUAUGCUCACUUUCAGAAAGAAGAAAUUGAAAAGCAAGUGCAGGAGAUGCUGAAAUCAGGACAUAUACGUACUAGCACCAGUCCUUUUUCUUCACCAGUGUACUCGUACGAAAAAAAUGGUAGUUGGAGAUUUUGCACGGAUUAUCGCGCACUAAAUAAUGCAACUAUCAAGGAUCGGUUCCCCAUUCCAACCGUGGAGGAUAUGCUUGACGAAUUAUAUGGAGCGGCAUAUUUUACGAAACUGGAUUUACGAGCUGGAUAUCACCAAGUAAGGGUCAAUCCUUCUGAUAUUUCUAAGACUGCUUUUCGUACUCAUAAUGGCCAUUAUGAAUACCUCGUUAUGCCUUUUGGCCUAUGUAAUGCACCUUCCACAUUUCAGGCCAUCAUGAACACUAUUUUUCGACCUCACCUUCGAAAAUUCAUUCUAGUUUUCUUCGAUGAUAUCCUUAUCUAUAGUACUACAUGGGACAAACAUGUGGAACACAUUGCACAAACUCUGCAGAUUUUAAGACAACAUCAGUUUUUUGCUAAAGCUAGCAAAUGUGUUAUCGGCCAACAAGAAUUGGAGUAUCUGGGGCAUAUCAUUACACCGCAAGGAGUGAAAGUUGAUGACCAAAAGAUUACAGCCAUGCUUGCAUGGCCUCGACCUACUAAUAUUUCUGAAUUGCGUGGUUUUUUAGGAUUAACAGGUUAUUACAGGAAGUUCGUCCAAAAUUACGGCAUCAUUGCUCGACCCCUUACCAAUCUAUUAAAGAAGGGGAAAUUUGGAUGGCAUGAUGAGGCAGAGGCAGCCUUCUCAGCUCUCAAGCAAGCCAUGACAACCACUCCCACUUUAGCCAUGCCUAAUUUCAAUGAUUCAUUCACAAUUGAAACAGAUGCUUCAGGAGAUGGUAUUGGUGCGGUUCUAACACAGCAAGGCAAACCCAUCGCCUACAUGAGUCGGGCACUGGGAGUCACAAAAAAAUCCUGGUCCACCUACGCCAGAGAAAUGCUUGCAAUUGUAGAAGCCAUCCGUUUAUGGCGUCCUUAUAUACUGGGAAGAAAAUUCUUCAUUGAAACCGACCAGCGUAGCUUGAAGUAUCUACUGGAUCAACGAAUAGCAACACCAGAACAGCAAAAGUGGGUAGCCAAACUACUGGGUUAUGACUAUGAAAUUCGUUAUCGUCCAGGCCGCGAAAACUCAGCUGCAGAUGCACUCUCCCGCAGGCCAAACAGCCCCACACUUCAUCAUUUGCACGUGGCCACCGUAACCUUGUGGGAUGAAAUCAAAGAAGCAUACAUUGGGAAUAAAUACAUUCAGUCAGUAGAGCGGGUAGCCAAGGCUCAACCCAAUGGACCAUAUUCACAACGCCAAGGAUUGUGGCUAUUCAAGCACAGAGUGAUAAUUCCUACAUGUGAACUGCUACGCACCAAGUUAUUGUAUGAAGCACACAAUACCAAGAUUGGCGGACACUCUGGAGUCUUACGAACAGUCAAACGACUAGCUCAUCAAUUUUACUGGCCUAAGAUGCAACAAGAUGUCCAAGAAUAUGUCCGACGCUGUGAAGUAUGCCAAAGAAUGAAAUCAGACACUCUUUCCCCUGCUGGACUCCUACAGCCUUUACCCGUUCCGUGUCAAGUUUGGGAUGAUAUUACUCUUGAUUUCGUUGAAGGAUUGCCAACCUCCCAUGGAAAAGAUACAAUCUUAGUAGUGGUUGACAGGUUAAGCAAAUUUGCCCAUUUCUUGCCCUUAUCCCAUCCAUUUACUACAAAAGGAGUAGCUGAAAGAUUUGUGGAAGGAAUUAUUAAGCUACAUGGCAUUCCUAAAUCAAUCAUUAGCGAUCGAGAUCCCAUCUUUAUCAGCCAAUUUUGGCAACAGUUAUUUCGCUUGUCAGGGACACAACUAAAACUCAGCUCUGCCUAUCAUCCACAAACAGACGGCCAAACCGAGGUGGUAAAUCGAUGUGUUGAACAAUAUCUUCGCUGCUUUGUUCAUCAAUGGCCGCGCAAGUGGAGCACCUAUAUUCCUUGGGCUGAGCUCUGGUAUAACACCACAUUCCAUGCCUCUACUAAAAUGACUCCAUUUCAGGCAUUGUAUGGUCGACUGCCUCCUCUCCUUCCCAAUUACCAGGGUGGUGAUGCGUCGGUGCAUGAGGUGGACAAGAAUCUCAUGUCUAGAGAUGAGUUACUAAGUCACCUAAAGACAAAUUUGGAGAAAUCCAGCAAUCGUAUGAAGCAGACAGCAGACAAAAAAAGAAGGGAGGUGACUUUUGCAGUAGGUGAUAUGGUGUUUCUCAAGUUACACCCCUAUCGACAACAAUCGGUUUUUAAACGUGUGCACCAAAAGCUUGCAAGUCGAUUUUACGGCCCUUAUCCAGUAGUUCAAAAAAUCGGCGCAGUUGCUUACAAACUUCAACUACCAGAGGGCAGUCGUAUUCACCCGGUCUUCCACGUCUCUCUACUCAAGAAAUAUGUGGGCGACCUAGUGGUGUCAUCUACAGAAUUACCACCAGUGAAUGAUGAAGGCCUAAUUAUACUGGAACCACAACAGAUUUUGGACACUCGCUGGGUCAAACAGGGAAACAAAUUUGAAGAGGAGAGCUUGAUUCAGUGGCAACGACUACCAGCAGAGGAGGCCACAUGGGAACUAACUAAGUCGUUGCUUGAGCAAUUUCCACACAUCAACCUUGAGGACAAGGUUUUGCUUGGUGGGGGAGGUAUUGAUAAGCCACGAUCUGAAGAAUCUCAAAGUCCACGUCAUUCUAAGAGGAUCCAUAAACCAAAUCCCAAAUAUCUGGGAUGAGCUGAUCGUGAGUUAAUGCAUGCAUAACGGAAGAAGCCAUUAAACAGGGGUCGUGGCUAUCAAGGAGUAAUGGAAGGAGGGGUUACACCCGUUAUAUCACCAUUUAUGGUCAUCAGUUAUAUCUUAAUUAAUUCCAAGUUAUUAGUAGCUUUAUUGUUCCCUUUGUAUUUCAGUUUUAUUUGUAAUUCACUUUGGCUAUUUAAGCAGCUAAAGUUUUAAUAAGAAAAGAUAUAUAAUUUCAGUAAAAAAGUGUGGUUUAGUUCUCACCCGAAGAGAACCUUUAUAAUAUUGUGAUGGGACCUAACAUUGGUAUCAGAGCACGUUAUGGGAACCAACAAGGAGCGUAUUGAGCACCUGGAAUCUGGACUUGGGAUAGUUCAAGAUGGUCUUCAGAGAAUGGAGUUGGGAGUGAAUGAUAAACUCCAACAUUUGGAAGACACUCUUACUCGACUUGCCAAUAUGUUGAGGGCAAAUCUACGAGAGAAACAAAAUGUACGAGAGAACACAACCCCAUCAUUGAAGCUGCUAUUUAUAUAUAUAUAUAUAGACAUGAUCUAAUGCUAGCAAGCUGCGAAUCAUAUAUUUUAAGCAGCACACAUUGAGAAAUGAUUUCAGUCUCAUCUUGCCUUUGGGUCAAUUAUUUCAGAAAACACACCCCUUGCUCUUUGAUCUGGAUCACUUUGGGUGACACUUUCACGAGUGCUAACAGUGCUCCUUGAAUGUGACUCCGCUCCACUAAACAUGUCAUCGUCAUCAGUGGUCAUGGCAUCUCGAUGUGGUGAAAAUGAGCUUUUAUUUUCCAUAUUGAUCCCUUCUACACUGUUGGCAUUUUUCUCAGCAGAUUGUUGAAGCUGCAAUGCAAAUUCAAGGCCCCAAACGACAUCACCCAUUUUAGGGCGUUCAAUUCCUUGACCAUGUAAGCAACUGUUAGCAAUCUCUGCGAACUUAUUUAAAGAGACGGGGGCAACCUCGCCCUUUAAAUGUGGAUCCACGAUCUGAUCAAGGGUUCCUCUUUGGUAACAUUUUCGUGCCCAGUCAGCUAAGCUUGCUUGAUCUUUCGGUGAACUUGGAAUCACUGGUGGCCUUGCACAUAGCACCUCAAACAAAACCACACCGAAUGAAUAAACAUCAGAUUUUCUGUCAGGUGUUGCCUACGGUAGUACUCUGGAUCCACAUAUCCAAUGCUACCUCUAACUACAGUGCUAACAUGGGUUUGGGAUGUACUAGUGGGACCCAAUCUGGACAGCCCAAAAUCUGAAACCUUAGCCACCCAAUUCUCAUCUAACAAUAUGUUUGUUGACUUCACAUCACGGUGAAUGAUUGUGUGCUUUGCUCCUGAAUGAAGAUAAUGCAACCCUUUUGCAGCACCGAUGCAUAUUUCUAGCCUUUGCUUCCAUGGAAGAGGAGAGUUCUUUGUUUUGUAUAGAUGUUCUCUAAGAGUGCCUCUUGACAUGUAAUCGUAUACAAGGAUCAUCUCGCCAUGAUCAUCACAGUAUCCAAUCAGCGACACUAGAUGGAGGUGGCGCAGAUUGGAUAACAUCUCAAUCUCUGUCUGGAACUCACGUGUCCCUUGCUUUGAUGAUGAAUCUAGUCGUUUGAUGGCUACUGCACCGUAUUCAAUGUAUCCUUUAUACACAGUACCAAAUCCCCCUGAACCAAUAAUAUUUUGAUCAUCAAAGUGUCCUGUUGCUUCGUUGAUUUCGAAAAAUGUAAACCGUCGGCAAAGAUCAGUAGGAGUGAUGAAGAGAUUGUAGUCGUGGACCUAGAUGUUUGUGAUAUUAGAGUCCAGGAGGAUUUUUCCUCACUCUUGCUAGGGUCCUUGACUCGCUUCUGCUUGAAAGCAAAGAAAUAAAGAAUAAGAGAGCAAGCAAACACUGCACCUAUGGAACCUCCAACGAUGGCUAUAACCGUAAGUAUUGAUGAUCUUUUGCCCGUUCUUCUGUCUUGUAGACUUGGAUGUUGUUCUGCUGGUGGAGGAGCCACUGUUGGCUCAGGGUUGAAUCCUGCAAGAUUUCCGUCUGUUGUAUUCAGCUUGAAUAUUUCCAAGCCAUUCAAGAUUGCAUCAGCAUAAGUAGGUUUCAGUUCCAUGUUAGGGUGUAGUUCGAGCCACAAGCCCUGCUUGCUCUGGCUCCCUGAGGGACCAGCACGAUGUAGUCUUUGUAAACUGGAAUGCCGUUGCCACCGCUCAUAUGGAUCACAUCUGCAUCAUGGCUGUGCUAUUUGAUUGUUGAUGAAUAUUAAAAAUACCUGUUGAUUUUCAGUUUUGAACUCCAUUCGAGUCUCACAAAAGUGGAGUCUAAGGAGAUAAUUGAAACCAGCAUCAACUGGGAAGAUCCAUGUGAGAUUGUAAUUCAUGUUAAGAAGUGGUUCAGGACCCAUAGAACGCAUAGUACUAUAUACCAUAACAGGUGCGGAGUAAGCUGGCGUUUUGGUUGUGUACUCUAUCUUGACGCCUGAGUGAUAUGGAGUGUUUCCAGCUUUUCCAAAGAGAUACCCUGAAUCUUGAUGCCAUGUCCUGUACAUUCCAGUCUUGUCUCCAGUGCUGCUGAUAUCUUGCCCCCCAACAUUCAGUCGAUAAACUGUCUCAAGCGCAGUUGUGUUACCCAGAUAGAAGGGGGCGGUGCCCACAUAGGUCGGUGGAUUAUCAUCGCCACGAGCAUAGAAGCUGUCUGGCAUGGAAACGAUUUCGAUACCAUUAACGAAGGCAAAAGAUGCUGGAGACGGAAUGAAGGUUAAUUCAAGCUUCUGGUUGUCCCACACGGUGAUGAUGAACUCUUUGGUGAAGUAGUCAACUGGAGGUCUUAUAGCAGAAACUGUAAGAGAGGCACUAAAGUUGUUUAGUAGCUUGUAGUUGUUGGCACUAAGCGAAAAAUAGGAUUUGGAUAUAUCAAGAUUUGAGUAAGAAGAUGGAUAAAAGUAGAGACGCACAAAUUUUGGGCCAGGCAAGACUGGAAUUGUGUAAGUGAAUUUAGAGUGAAGAAUACGGGCUGUCAUGUAUGGGACUUGGUCGACAGAGGGGUCUUGAGUGGAGGCUUCAAACACAGAUGAGGCUUCUGGGGGGUUAGAGGCAGCAAACUUAGACUGGGAAUCACCAUCCCAACUGCGACCAUCUGGAGAUGACAAAUUAGAGGAUGCACCACAGUUAAGGAGUAUUAGAUCAGUGGGGCUGUAUGGCAGCAAGUAAUCUUCAGUAGCAGUAGCAUAGAGGAAGAGAUGGAGGGGAGGGAGAAGGUAGAGAGCGAUGAAGAUGGACAUUAUGCUAUUUCUUUUGUGGAAUAAGUUGGAGUAAGAAAACCUAUGCAUUAAAUGCAAAGAUUUUGAUUUAAGGGAAGAUGAUCAGUGGCGUUUUUGUCUCCAUACAGUAUUUUUGCUCAGUUGAGAAUAAUCCAAUAAUAUAUUUGAAGCCCGGGGAGUUGAAAAUUCGACGAUAUGGCUAAUGGGACAUAUUGGUCGCUGUACUUAGUCAGCUUUGGAUGGCUGCUUUCCAUUGUGUGGUUCUGAAUUCUGCAAUAAAGACGCCAUGAAUAGUCUAUGAAACUUAUUUUUCUUUUCUUUUUUCCUUAACUUUUUCAUUGUUGGAUUAAGAUCACACACACCACUUAAUUUCUUAUUUGAUUAAUAUUCUUAACGAGGUUGAAUGUAUUUCAGGUUGGUGUUCACCAUAACAAAUGCAGUAAUCACAGCUCCGAGAUUAGGAUUCAAAAGGUGCAAAGCUUCUUUUUCCUUAUGGCCACCGCCUUGAUACAAUGAUUGUCGCAAGUGCAAGGUCUAUAUAAUCCUCACCGAUGCCUUCUGUCCAAUACACACACAUCCUCAUUAUAGGCUGGCCUUGCUUCAGUCUUCAAUAAGAAACAUCGUUCUUGUUCCUCAUGAGUAGCCCUUUCACUCGCCUCAGAUCCAUGAAGUCUCAUUUACUCCUUUCUAUUAUUCUUCUUCAAUGCUGUCUUACUGAUAAAAUGCUCUUGUUUUUGGUGUUAUAUAUUCUUCAAUGCUGUCUUACUGAUAAAAUGCUCAAAUGAGACUUCAUGGAUCUGAGGCGAGUGAAAGGGCUACUCAUGAGGAACAAGAACGAUGUUUCUUAUUGAAGACUGAAGUAUAUAUAUAUAUAUAUAUAUAUAUAUAUAAAAUUUUACACAGGCUCAAAGGAUCGACCUAUUUCUUUUUGGUUCAUGAGUGUGCCUUUUUGGGCUGAGUUUAAAACCAAAAAUCUUCUCAUCUGGUAUAGUAAUCGCUUAAUUACUACAAAACUUGGUGGUAAUGAGAAAUCUUUCUUCCCAUUAAUCGAAGAAUAAUGGAUUUACCUCUCGACAUACUUGGUGCCGAAUAAAAUCAUUAGCACUAGUGAAGAAGAGGCAAGCUGUCCUCUCUUCCCUGGAGAUGGCAAUUUGUUCUCUCUCAUCCUGUUAAGCUUGAUUUCCAUAAUUGAGGGGAAAUGAAUGGAGUUCUCGGUGGAUGAAAAAUAAUUGGAAUAAUAAAUGAAAUGAAAUUGUGUUUCAUUGUUGAAACAAUCAUGCUGAAAUCACUUCAAUCCAAGUCUCUACAUUGAAUAGGUCUAGCAAAUGUUCUUAUCUUGUACAAACAGGACACCUUAAGCAAACCUGUGAACAUUCCAAGAUCUUUUUUUCAACUUCAUAGCUUGCAAUAGAUUAAUGAGGAAGCUUCUCCAUUAAUUAGUGCACGAGAAAGACAAUCACUAGACAUCGUAUCGACAAAGCAAUUGCUUGCUAUUUUCUUCAAUUAUUAAUCAUCAUAAAGUACAUACAAAUUUUAUUGCUAUACUCAUCGGAAGCAUGAGUAGAAAGAAAGAAGAAAGAUUCAGACAGUCACCCUAGACGUAGAGCAAACUGAUCCCACCCAUCUUGGUGGAGCUCACAUAGACGGACUGGUUCACCUUGCGCUUUAUGGGUGGCUAUUCAAAUCGAAACCCACACAGACAGAUAAAGAACUGACCCCUUUGUCUCCUCUUCCUCGAUCAACUACCACGUUUGCACCGAUUGUAGUAAGUGCAGGGCCGAGUGUUAGGAUUGAUCGGUUUUGCACAGUCGCCAUAUAUUUGUGCAUUGCAAAUUGGUUGUCGUUCUAAACUAUCAUAGCUAAGAUAGUUACCCUGAGAGGCCAGUAGUCUCUGAUGCACUUCAGAUUCCAUAGAGAACUCCUCUUCAUUACCUUCACCGAUUGUGGCAUUGAAAAUGGGACUCGAGUUGCUUUCAAGAAAGGCAGCUGUAGAAGCAGAUGUGAUCACAAAAACCAGCAGGAUAGUUAAAGAGAGCCACCGGAGGAAUUCAAUACUUACGCUAGGCCUCAUCUCUUUCUGUCUGUACCCUUCUGUUACAGAGUUUGAAGAGCACUAAAUAGACGUCACUGCUAAGAAGGCUUCAAACUCUGGAUAUGGAGUGAAAGGCCAGCUUUUUUCCAUUGACUUGCUUUUUUGUGAAGACUUGGGUCUUCACAUGACUGUGAUUUUGACAUUGUGCGCUCUAAUUGCUUACAGCUGGCAAACUGGUUGGAUAAUGGUCCUUGCCAAUUCAAUCGUUUCCUCAUUGUUCGUUUGCAACCAUGAACAUUUAUUUUAGUGUUUGAUAGUGGUUUUUUAUAAUAUUUUUUAUUUAGAAAAAUAUUAAAAUAAUAUUUUUUAAAAUAUAUUUUUAAUAUCAAUAAUGCAAACACUCAUCAUGCAGCGUUUUCCGAGGGACAUCUAAUAGUUGUCGGAAACCAUGUGCGCGUCAAGUCCAUGGGCCAUCAGCUGAUGCUAAGUUUUGAAAAAAUUGCAAUUAUUUUUUUAUGGGAUCCUGCUAACAAACACUAGCAUUUCUCUUACUUUUAUGUAAUUAAAUGGUAGGGUAUAGCAGUUCUUACAAAGGGACCAUAGAAAUGUCUUUUGAACUGGUGCUAUUGGCAUACCCAUAAAUCUAUUGGCGUAACAUUUUGGAAAUGGAAUGUCAAGGUUUUUUCUUCUCUAACAUGAAAGCUUUCUCCUUUUUUUUUCGUUUAUUAAUAUUCAUAAAUUAAGAGAAAAUGUUGAUUUUUCAAUUGAAUAUACGUAAGGUAUGAAUUUGCUAUGCGUUUAGAGUACAUGAAAGACUUAUUUAUAUUAGGCUUUUUGAACUUUAAAACUAAUUAAAUUCUGCUUGAAGUUGAAAAUAUGUCAUGGAUGACGUGAUAACGUGAUAAGCACUUUUUGAAUAAUUGAAGGGGAUGGAUGUUUUGUUAAGGAUGACGUCAAUAUACACCCACACACUAUGAAGUUGAUUCAAAGAAUCAGGAUUAUAAUCUGGAUCUUCGUUAGUGAAUUUAUCCUCAUCAAAACUUGAUAUUUCGUACGAGGUUUCUUCGAGUGUUUCUUGUAUUCUGCCUUUGACCUUGAUGAUGCUAAGGUUUACUUGAAUUCGAUUUUAAGAGGUUAGAAAUGUAAAUUGUCUUUUUUAAGUUGGAGAUGAUAGGAAUUCUUGUAGCUAUGGAGUUUGUUGAGAUUGUAGCAAUAAGCUUGAGUUUCUCUGAAUUGGAUCCAUCAUUUGACUUUGAUGUAUCCCAUGAGAUCUGAAGAGUAACUAAUAUCUUUAUUUACAUCAUGCAUUGUAAUGAAAUUCCAAGAUAGCAUGAGACACCAAAGGUAGAGAUGAAAUUAUACAAAGAAACGGGAAUUGAAUUCGAAGGCAUUUUUACUAUAAACAAUUCCAAUUAUUGUGUGAUUUUUUAUGGGAGGAUUUCACUUAUAGAAGAAAAAUAUUUCCACCAAUUGUUUGAGAACCAAGUUGGUAAAUUUUUUGGACAAAUGUUUUAUCAAAAUGGAUGAACCAUAAAUGAUCAUGGUUUUAGAAAAAGAAAAUCAAACCAAGCUCGUUGAUAAUCAAAAUAAUUAUAUCUUUGAGAUUAGUAGUUUCAAGAAAAUCUUUCAAGGUGUAGGGACUUUGACUCAAUUAAGUCUUGAAAGGUUAAAACCUUUUAAAUUUUUAUUUUUGAAAAAAAUGGAUUAUUUACAUCUUCAUUAUGAGUCACUUCAGCAGAGUUAAUGUCAAACCAGAACAAACUCAUAAAAUUAUCUUGUUUUCAAUAGUUUUUCUAUAAUGAACUAAAAUUGAAAGGGGAAGAUAUAAAAAAUGAUCUUAUUUAGGUUUUCAUUGUAAAAUUAUUUUUUAAUUGGACAAAUAUGAAGAUUUAUAGUUUCUUGACUUGGAAGGUUUAAUAAGUUAAUUUUUUCAGGGAAGAUUUGGAGGGUAAUUAACACAAGUGGAAGCACAAGCAAAUACACAAUAACAAGUAGGGUAUAAAAGUUGUUACAAGGGACCAUAUAUAUUGUGUUUUGAACUGGUGCUAUUGGCAUACCCAUAAAUCUAUUGGAACAAUAUUUUGGAAAUAAAAUGUCAAAGUUUUUUUUUCUUCUUUAACAUGAAAACUUUCUUUUUUCCAUUUAUUAAUAUUCAUAAACCAGAGAGAAUGUGAUUUUUCAAUUGAAUAUAUAUAAGGUAUGAAUUUCCUAUGCCUUGAGAAUGCACCAGAGUGGUGGCCCGCGCGACACCACGGAUCGGACCAAACAUGUUUUUCAAUAUGAAAAAAAUCUUUAGGAGAUAGUUGGGUUUUUAAAAUAAAAAAAAAAUAGAUAAUAAUGUUAAACCUUGAUUAAUUUUAUAAUAUAAUAAAAAAAUUAAGCAACAAUAACAAAGAAAUAAAAAAUAAUUACAUACAAAACUGGAUUAACACACGAAACUCGUGACCUAACACAUGAGAUCAGGAUAACCCUAUAGGAAUAUGAUACCAGUAAAAAUCCAUUGUUGAAAAAGGACAUGGAAAAAAAAAUCAAAGGCAAUAAAAUAUUGAAGGAUGAAAUUAAGAAAAAAAGUUCAAAUAAAAAUAAAUCAAAAAAAUAAAAAUCAAAUCUAACAUAAAACAAAAUUAACUAAAAUAUUGAGAGAUACAAUUAAAAAAAACAAUUCAAUUAAGAGAAAGAUAUAAAAUAUUGAGGGAUACAAUUGAAAAGAUAAUUUAGUUAAGAGAAUAAUUAAAAAUCAAAAUAAAAAUAAUAGGGAUCAAAUCUAAAAUGUAAACAAACCAAAUGAGAAUUAAAUUGAAAGAAAAUUUUAAAUGCAUGCAUAAUCUAAAAUAAAUGAAAUAACAAUAAAAAAAAAGAAAUCAAAUCUAAAAGAAAAAUAAAUUGAAGUGCUAUAUAAAAUCUUACUUUUUGUUACCACACAAGCUCUCUAGAAAUUGAUCGGCAAUAUCACAAGGAUAAAAACACAAUUAUAAAAGCUAGAGCUUGGCUGUCAAACGAUACCUCAUGUGUUGUCUAAUCAAAACAAAAGUACUAACCCGUGACCGUAUAAAUUGCAUGUGCAACUGUUUUUUUUUUUAAAUAAAUUAAUAUAAUAUAUACCUAAAUACUAAAGUGCAUUUUAUCGAACUUGAUAAUCACAAAAAAACCAAAAACAAGAGACAAAAACAAAACCCCUUGACCAAGGGCAAAGACAAUUCAAAUGCAAGGACACUUCAGUUUUUCACUGUGCAUGUGAAAAGGAAUACUUGAAAGUGACCCUCUCCACUAGUCCAUUACUUUUUAUUUAGAAGGAUAUAAUGGUUAUUUUACCAUGAAAAUAAAAAAAAAAAAUUAAUAUACCCUACUUCCAAAGCCAGCAAAAUCAUUAUCUCACUAUUCCAAUCGACAUUAACAAUGAGUUUGGCUGUACAAUAAUAAACCUAUACUAAAAUGGGAGCUCUUUUAGUCUCUUCUAAUGAAAGACUUAUUUACAGGAGGCUUUUUUAACUUUAAAUCUAAUUAAAUUAUGCUUGAAGUUGAGAAUAUAUCUUGGAUAACGUGAUAUAUACACUUUUUUAAUAAUUGAAGUGGCUGAAUGUUUUGUCAAAUAUUAUUGAAUAAUUAAAUUAGGUGGAUUUUCAUAAAGGAUGACGUCCACAUAUAUAAAAGAUUCUUUUAUAUCCAUGUGUGUGUGUAACUCAGAAGAUUAGGACCAUAAUCUGGAUUUUCAUUAGCGAAUUCAUCCUCAUGAGAACUUGAUAUUUAUACAAGGCUUUUUGGAGUUUUUUCUUGUUCUGACUUUGAGCUUGAUGAUGCAAGGCUUUCUUGAAUUCGACUUUUAGAGGUGAGAAUUGUAAAUUGUCGUUCUUGAGAUGGAGUCGAUGGGGAAUGCUUGCAGCUAUGGAGUUUGAUGAGAUUGUAGCCGAGCAUGCACAACUUGAGAACAAGCUUGAGUUUUUCUGAAUUGGGUCCAUCGUUUGACUUCGAUUUUCCUCAUGAGAUCUAAAGAGUAACCAAUACCUUCAUCUACAUCAUUUAUUAUAAUGAAGUCCCAAGAUAGCAUGGGACACCAAAGGUUGAGAUGAAAUAAAAAGAGGCAUGAAUUGAAUUCAAAGGUAUUUUUGUUGUCAACAAUUCCUAUCUUUAUAUGAAUUUUUAGGGAGAAUCUUACUUAUUGAAGAAAAAUAUUACCACCAAUUGUUUGAGAACUAAGUUGGAAAAUUCUUUGGACAAUGUUUUAUCAAAAUGGAUGAAUGAUGAAUGGUCAUAGUUUUUUAGAAAAAGAAAUUAAACCAAGCUUGUUAAUAAUCAAAAUUACUGAUUGGUAGUUUUGAGAAAAUCUUUCAAGGUGCAGGGGUUUUGAUUCAUGUCUUGAAAGGUUAAAACCUUUUAAAUUUUUAUUUUUAUUUAAAAAAAAAAAAAACAGGAUUGUUUACAUCUUAAUUAUGAGUUAUUUCAACAAAGUUAAUGUCAACCAGAAUAAACUUAUAGAAUUGUCUUGUUUUCAACAUAUUUUCUAAAAUAAAUUGAAAUUGAGAGGGGGGAAUAUAAAGAAUGAUCUUAUUUGGGUCUUCAUUGUAAAAUUAUUUUUUAAUUGGACAAAUAUGAAGAUAAUAGUUUCUUGACUUGAAAGGGUUAAUGCAUUUUUUAGGGAGGAUUUAGAGAGUAAUUAACAUAAGUGGAAGUACAGCAAAAAACCAAUAGCAAGAGAAAGAAAUAAUAGUUGAAAGAGGAUGAGUAAAAGAAUCCUAAUUUAUAGUUUUAUUGAUGAAGAGAAAAAUCCACUAUUUUUUUUUGCCCCUUUAAGAUAUUUAGAAUCUUUAAAAAGUUAAAACCAAACUAAACAAAUUAAAAAAUCCCAAAGAAAAGUAACAAAAUUCCUAAACAAACUAAGAGAAAUAAAAUUAUCAUUCUCAAUAUUUAAUUUCCUGAACUAGAUAGAAAAAAAUAAAAUCACCAUAAAGAAAAUAUUUUUCUAAACUAAAUAGAAAAUAAUAAUAAUAAUAACUAAGAAAUUUUAUUUUCAUAAAAAUCCUGGCAUCAACAAUAAUGUUGUUGAAGGUGCAUUUUAAGAUUAAACAAACAAGGGUGUUUUGAGAGAUUAAAAAUAAUUUAAGUGAGGUGUUUGGACUGAGUGAUGUUGAUGAAAGGAUUCAAAAUUGAUUAUUUGAGACAAAAACUAGCCUCACAAUAGGAGGCCAUACCCUCCUUAAAGUAUCUUGAAUGCUUGAUGUUGUUGCUUGAAUUGGUUUUAAUGGUGUAAGAGUAUUUGAUUCUUUUAACUUCUUGACCGGGAUGCUCAUUUUGAGCCUAGUAAAGACUCUUUGACUUUUAUGAAUUCAAUCUUGUAAAAGUAUCUAAGAUUUGUAAAAAUAUCUAAAACAUAAUUCAGGCAUCUCAUAAACCUUUAAAGCUGGGUUUUAUCCUUGGUUUUUUCUACGGAUUUAUCAAUAAAUUUUAGUGAUCUAGUGAUUAGAGUUAUUGAUUCUUGAUACAUGUUGUAUCCUAAAAAAUAUAUUUUUAAUUAACAUCUUUAAGGUUGAGACAACUAAUCUAUUUUGUUUGAUAAUAUUGAGAAGCUUUUGUAAGUUUUCGAAAUGUUUGGUUAUUAAUUUUAAAAAUAAAAAGUCAUCAUCUAUGUAUAUAAUCAUAAAUUUUAAAUACAGAUUAAAGAUGUCAUUUAUAAUGGUCUGAAGUUUUAAAUGAGUAGUUCAAAAGGCAUUACAUCUCAUUUGUAAUGAAUAAAUGUAACAAUGAAUGUUGUUUAGUAAUGAUUUUAUUAUUAUUAUUAAAUUAGACUUGCUAGAAUCCUGACCUUAUGUCAGAUUUUGAAUAUAUUGAAGCAUUUUAAAGUCUCAUCUCUCUUAUCAUCGUGUAUUGGAUAUCUAAUAUAUUGAAGCACUUUGUUGAGAGGCUUGUAAUUGAUGACAUGUCUUAGUGCACACUAUACCAUUAAACAAUUUUAUUGACAGAUUAAUUUCGUCGGUGUAAGGCAUGACAUCUGUCGGUAAAAUUAUUACCGAUGGUCUCAUCGAUGAAAUUCGUCCGUCGGUAUACUAAUCGCCGGUAAUUUCCUAUUCCGUCGCUAAUGUUGUCGGAAUUAAAAAAAAAAACCAACCACCGCCGGUCUUACAAACGGUGACACGCUGCAAAAACAAAAUUUCCCACGAGAACAUUACCGACGGAAUAUAUCGGUCUACAUUUUUAACGGUAAUCAUCAACGGAAUAUCCAUCGGUGAUGGUGGCAUGACGGUAAAUAUUUUAGAACUCUGUAAAAUACCAACAGAAAUAUUCCGUCGGUAAUAGUAAUGGUAAACACUGACGAAAUAUGUCCAUCGGUGAUUAUGGCAUGGGUGGUAAUUGUUUGGCAACUCUCGGUAAAAUACCGACGGCCAGGAUCCGUCGGGAAAGUCGUCGGCAUGUAUUUAUAAUAUAUAUAAAAAAUAAUUUAUUAAUAGUAAAAAAGCUUAAUAAACAAAUAAAAUUGUAUUAAACAUUAAAAAUAUAAAAAUAAUGUUAAAUAUUAUUCAUCCAAAUAUUCAUUACAAAUUUAAUGUGUUUAAAAAACAAAAUUAAACUAGAAUAGCGGUAGAGCUAGAGGAGGAGGAGGAGGAGGAGGAGGAGGAGGAGGAGGAGGAGGAGGAGUUGGUUGUUCCCGGGACCGUACGACCAAAAAGGAGCUGCACAUGUAUCAUCACCCAUCCUUGAUAAUUACUCCAUGACCAUUUGAUGGAGUUGAUCAUAAUUCAUCGAGAGUUGUUCAUAUUGUUGUUUCAAGGCCAUGAACUUCUCAGACUGGGUGCUCGAUGCUGAUGGAGAGCUCCUAACGGUUGAGACACUACGGGUUGAUCGCAAUUUUUCGGUCGUAGUGUUGGAGAGCCUGUGGACUCAAUUUUUUUUGGGACCACUAGACGAUCCCACCUCCAUCCACUAAUCCGAAUCAAAAUCCGGAUAGAUCGAAGGAUCGUCCCCAUAUCUCUCCCUCAACCGUCUAUUAUAGGUCUCCUGAAAUUUUUUAAAAAAUCAUCAUAUUCAAUUCAAGAAAAUAAUAACUUACUAAAUAAAAUGAUUGAACGAACAUACUACGAAGUGCUGAGCACGGUUGUCCACAAACUACUGCACCCCUUUUUGGCGAUCUUGACUCCGCACAUGCAUCUCUACAAACAACUCCAUUGGACGUAGCUUAUAAGGAAAAAAUAGGUUGCAAUUAAGUUAAAUAUAUUUAUAAGCAACGACAAAUUAAUUAAUGAUAUAUCUCAUUAAAAUUAAUCUUACCAUCCGCUUUGCAUGUGUGCUGAACGGGACGGAGCCGUCGGUGUGCAUGGUCACCAAACCAUGAAUUUACCAGUUCCGGUUGUGGGCGCCGAAUUGUGAGCACCAUGAUAACCACUCUAAGGUCACGUGCUCAAUAUAUGUUGUCCAUAUAUCUCUCGAGAUGAAUGGCAGUUUGAAUUCCCGCCAAACCGCUACCUCAUUCCAUCCUUUAAGACCGUUAUCCCUCGCAUGUCUUUUUGAUUUUUUUUAUUGAACCAACCAGUUUAACUCGGUUUUUUUGGUUUGGCUAAGUUUUUUAUUCUGACUUGGCUCAGUUUUUUCGGUUUUAGGCUUAUAAACAUAACCGAACCAAUCAGUUUUUUAAAAUUCUAAUCGGUUUAAUAAGUUUUUUUUACAGUUCGGUUUUUUCGGUUAUUUUUUUUAUGGUUCUCUCGGUUUAAUCAAUUUUUUUAUUUUCUUGCUUACCCUUACAUAUAGGUAGUGAAAGGGAAAUUACGAAUUAUACAGAAUUGAACAAAAAAAUAGAAGGUCAAUUUUUAAAAUAGAAUGCCCACUCCGGCGUGAAAAAUGGAAUAUUAAAGGCAAAUACAUGUUGUUGGCAAAGUUCCAAGCCUGGGGUCCAGUUUCAUGCAAACAUCUAAUGCACGUUAUGAGGCAACAAAUAAAGCAGGAAGAGAAUAGACUAAAAAGAAAUCUAUAAUGUUAAAUCUAUGAUGAAAUUUAUUGGUCUAAGAUGCUAAAAAAUUAACAUGUAUUUAAACUUAUAUAUAUUAUAAUACCUCGAAAAUAUAGAGUUGAUCAAGUUCAGAAUAUGUGGACAUGCUUUUUAUAAAUUCAAAACUAGUAGAGGAAAGACUCAUAUCGUAUAUAGAAAACUUAGAUAUUUUUCAAUUAUACCUAGAAUGCAAUGACAUCAUCAUUCACAAGAUUUUGUGGAUGUUUUAUUAUAUGAUAACAUCAAAAUAUAUUGAAAGAUUAUGUAUAUAUCAUUAUGAAUAGUGGAGAUAUGAUACAAUUAAAUGAGAAUUUUAUAUAACUAGAUAAAAAUAUGAAAUAAAAAGACUAUGUGGAUGAUCUAAUAUAUAUUUUUAUAUACCAUUGAGACAUUCUAGAUCUAAAAAGAGGUCUUGUCGUGUCAAAUUAGACGAACAUCUUAGGACCAUGUCUUUUAUCAAAUUGUUAGAUUUCCCGGAUUAGGUAUCAAAACUGAAUAUUGUUAUUUGGGUUAAUUUUUUUUUUAAUUUUUUCAAGGUUUUUUUUUUUGGAUUUAUUAUUUAAUUUGAUUUAUUAUUUUAAUUUCUUUUGCUUUUUUGUAUUUCUAGUUGUUUUCUAAUAGAUGUAGGGCUUUUUUGAUCUAUUUAUAGGUCUUAUAAACCUUUUAAAAGAUAAACUUAUUAGGUUUAUUUUUAGAUAAAUAAAUCAUAAAUUUGUGUUUCACAUAUAUAAUUUUUUUUGUUCAUUAAAUUUUAUUGUGUUUUAUGUAUUGUUACUAUUCUUAUAGGUCUCUGCUGCAUCAACCAUGCUUUGAGUUGGCUAAUUGUUAUUUUUUAUUUCAUAUUAAGUAUAAACAGGUAGUGAAAGGGAAAUUAAGAAUUAUACAGAAUUGAACAAAAAAAUAAAAGUUCAAUUUUUAAAAUAGUAUGCCCACUCCGGCGUGAAAAAUGGAAUAUUUCACAUCUAAUGCACGUUGUGAGGCAACAAAUAAAGUGGACCAAUUGGAAAUGAAAGAAGUGACCUUUGAACAAAGACUUCCAAGUCGUUGGCAUUAUGCAAUCAAUAAUUCAACAUUAAAAAAUCCCAAGUUGUUGCCUUUGAAAUGUCUAAUGCACGUUAUGAGGCAACAAAUAGAGUGGACCCAUUGGAAAUGCAAGAAGACCUUUGACAGGUCGUCUGUGCUGUGUAGCAGUGACCUCUGAAAGACAUCAAAGACUUCCAAGUCGUUGGCAUUAUGCAAUCAAUAAUUCAUCAUUAAAAAUUUUGGUAACUUUCUGGAAAUGAGACGUGAGAUUUUUCGUCCUUAACAUGUGGACCUUUCUUUAUUGACUUUCAUAAAUUUAGAUAUAACUAGUAAAUUUAAGUUGUUUUAUCUUAUUAAUUUAUACACUCAUUUUAAUUCUGUACCUCCUCGAUUCCUCUGGCAUGCAUCAUCACUCCGUAAUCAUUGUAUAUGGGAACCCCAUUUCCAUCAGCCCAAGAAAUUAUAUCUGCGUAAAGCUCGGCAGUUUGAUUAGCGAUAUAUAUUUGAAAGAUCAUAUCGCCUUCCCGCAAUAUAAUCGGUAUAAACUGACAGAAAUGAAGCCUAAAAAGAUAGGUGAAUGUGGAUUGGACCGGAAACUGCCAAGUCAUAUUGUAUUCCUUAUUUACAGUAGAAUUGGGUCCCAUGGUCCUAGCAGUUCGAUAGAGUACAUCAGGUGCAGCAUAGCGAGUGAGGUUAUUAUACUGAAGUUGAAUAGUGCCAUUAUAUUGAUAAACGCUCGGUCUAGCAUCCGUCAAGUAAUCGUCGUCGUUUAGCCAACUUUGAAUAGUGCCGUUAUUUUGAUGUUGUGGAUGUUUUGUUAUGAAUAUUUGGUGAAGAUAAGAUACAACUAAAUAAGAAUUUUAUACAACUAGAUAAGGAUUGAAACAGAAAAACUAUAUUGAUAAUUUAAUAUAUAUAUUUAUAUACCAAUAAAACAUGUUUAGACCUAAAAAAAAGGUCUUGUCCCUCAAAUUGGAUAAACAUCUUAAAAUUGCAUCUCUUAUCAAAUUAUUAGAUCUCCAGGAAUUAUGCACCAAACCAAAAUAUUGUUGUUUGGGUCAAAUUUAUUUAUUUUUCCUAGUUUUUUUAUUUAUUAUUUAAUUUGGUUCUUUAUUUUAUUUUAUUAUGUUCUUUUGUAUUUCUAGUUGUUUUCUAAUAGAUGUAGGAUUUUUUUUUAAUCUAUUUAUAGGUUUUAUAAACCUCUAAAAAAAUAAACUUCAUUAGUUUUAUUUCCAUAUAAAUAAAUCAUUAAUUUAUAAUUUACAUUGUAAUCUUUUUCGCUCAUUAAAUUUUAUUGUGUUUUUGUAUUGUUACUAUCCAUAUAGGUCUAGGCUGCAUCAACCAUGCUUUGAGUUGUCUAAUUGUUUUUUUUUUUUUUUCAUAUUAAGCAUAAACAAAAAAAUAAAAUAAAAGGUCAAUUUUUAAAAUAGGAUGCCCCAUCCGGAGUGGAAACUGGAAUAUGAAAGGCAAAUACAUGUUGGUGGCAAAGUUCCAAGCCUUUGGGCCCAGUUUCAUGUAAACAUUAGGCAACAAAUAGAGGGGACCAAUUGGAAAUGGAAGAAGACCUUUGACAGGUCGUCUCGUCUGUGCUGUGUAGCAGUGACCUUUGAAAGGCAUCAAACACUUCCAAGUCGUUGGCGUUAUGCAUCAAUAAUUCAACAUUCAAAAAAAAAUCCGCACUUUCCAAGAAAAUUAACUUUCAAGACAUCAUAAUCAGACUUCUGCAUAUUUCCGUGGAAUUUUAUUUUUUAUUUUUUUUAAAAUAUGGAAAUAUAUUGGUAACGUUUUAGAAAUGAGACGCCAGAUAUUUUUCGUCCUUAACAUGUGGACCUUUCUAUAUUGAUUUUCAUAAAUUUAGAUAUAACUAGUAAAUUCACGUUGUUUUAUCUUAUUAAUUUAUACAUUCAUUUAAUUAUUAUUUAAUAUUUGUUUUUCUUAUUUUCUCUACAAUAUCACUUGAUAAGUUGGCAAGGAUAAUGAUGUCCAAUAUAUUUCAGAAAAUAAUACAUGAAAGUCUUACAAUGUUGUUAUCAAUUUACUAUUUUACUAAUACCAUACAUCUACAUGCAAUAAAUAUAUUUUUCAUUUUUUCUUAUUGUGUGGAAUUUUUUUUUUAUAAUACUCAGAAAAAAAUAAUAAUUAAAAGAAUAAGGACCAAACUAGAACAAUUUUAUUUUUGUUUUUAAUGCUUUUUUAACUUAAUUGUUUUCAAUUUUAUCCAUAUAUAUUUUAUUUAAUUUAAUUAUUUAAUCUAGUUUGGUCCUCAUUCUUUUUAUUACUAUUUUUUUUAAAUUUUAUUUCUCAUCAUUUUAUUUCGUUUAAUUUUUGUGUCCAAUUUUGGUACUCAUUCUUUGAUUGCUUUAUAUAUAUACUAAAUAUAUAUAUCAUUUUCUUAAUUUAUUUUAAUUUUCAAUUUAGUCUCUUAUUGUUUUCUUUUAUUUAAUUUUUAUGUCAGAUUUGGUCCUUAUUUUUUAUUGUUAUUUAUUUAUUUCUUAUCUAAUUUUGGAUGAUUAGGGAUUUUGCUUGGUAUUUUUUAGAGUUUGCCUUUUAUGAUUUAAUCCUGAUUUCAUUACUCAAGUCACUAGUUUCGAGGAUUAGCCCGAUUUAAAUUUGAUAUUUUUUAUACCUUUUUUUUAAAAUUGAUUAUUUUUUAAUUUUAUCAUUUAAUUUAGGUUAUUAUGUCUUGAGUUUCAUAAUUUUUUCUACUUUUCUUUUUCUAUAUCAUCCUAUGUCAUGGGUUUGCUGGGUGAACUCAGGGUCAUUCAAGUUUUAAUUUCAUUUAGUCUUGAGUUUCAUGGUUUUUAUUUAAUUCUUUUAUUUUAUCAUUCCACAUUAAAUUAUUGGGUUUUGAGCUUCAUGGUUUUUUCCUCAUUCUUUUAUGUGAGUUUAUCUUGAUCUCAUAUCAUAGGCUUAGAUUUUUUAUUGCGUUUUUAUUUCAUCAUUUGAAAUUACAUUAUUGGGUUUUAAGCUUUGUGAUUUUUUUUAAUUUUUUUUUAUGGGGUUAUCCUGAGUCGCAGGUUUGUCAAGUUAACCCGAGUUGACUUCGAGUUUUUUUUUUAUAAUCCUUUUAUUUUUCUUCGGUCUUUUUUUCUUGGUCCUUUUUAUUUUAAAUAAUUUUUUAUCCCGAUCACAUUUUGCGGGUUGCGAAUUAGUCGAGUGAACCUUGGCUCACUCAAAUUUUUUUACAUUGUUUCUUUUUAAAUUAUUUUUUAUUUCAAUUUAAUUUUUUGAUAUUAGAUUGUUAGGUCAUGAUCUUAGUGAUUUUUUCCACUUUCCUUUAUACGAGGUUGACUCGAGUUACGAGUUAAUCAAGUUAACCAGGGUGGCCUCAUUUAUUUUCUUGAUAUUUUAUUUAUUGAUUUAACUUCAAUCUUUUUUAUUUAAGUCUUUUUUUUAAAAAAAUAUUUUUUUAAUUCUAAUCUCAUAUUGAGGGAAGCGGGUAGUUAAGUGAUUUCGAGUUGACUUGUGUUUUUUUUUGAUGUUUCUAUUUUUAAAUUUUAUUUUCGAGUUUCAUUUUUUAACAUUAGGCUAUUAGGCUUGGAGCAUUAUUUUUUUUUUCGUUUUCCUUUUAUAGAAUUAUAUUAAUUUUUUAUCCUAGAUCAGAGGUUACUCAAAUUAACCUAACUUAACAUAAGUGAUCAAUGCCUUAACAUUUUUUUUUCUGUAACAUGGAUCACCAUACCAGUAAUAUAAAAAAGAGAAAUGGGGACCAAAUUCUUUUAUCUCUCUCUCUCUCUAGAGAGAGAGAGAGAUCAUUGGAGUCUAAAAGUAAAUUUGAUAUCUUCAUGAUGAAUAAAAGUACAAAAUUAGAUUAAUUGAAAUAUUAUUAGUUUAGUUAUAUAAAUAUAAAUAUUACGUAAAGUUUAUGUCAUUUAUCUACACAUAAAGAAAAUCUAAAAUCUUGGUAGAUUAAAAAUCUUUUUUCUCUUGUGAGCAUAAACUCUCUUUUUUUGUUUUUGUUUUAGCUAGAAGUGGUAAAAAAGAGAUAUACAGAGGAUAUGAGAUUGAUCAGCUCUUUUUAAUAUGCAGAGAGAUUCAAACCAUUGACGUAAUCAAGAUUUUACUAAUUAAAGGUUUUGAGCAUUUAGCUAAAUAUAUGAUACAAUAAAAUAAGAAUUUUAUACAACUAGAUAGAGAUUUGAUCUAGACAAACUAUAUAGAUGGCCUAAUAUAUAUUUUUAUUUAUCAAUGAGAUAUGUCUAGGUCUAAAAGAAGGUUAUGUAGUGUCAGAUUAAGUUAACACCUUAAAACUGCAUCUCUUAUGAGACUAUCGGAUUUUCAGAAAACACACCCCUUGCUCUUUGAUCUGGAUCACUUUGGGUGACACUUUCGCGAGUGCUAACAGUGCUCCUUGAAUGCGACUCCGCUCCACUAAACAUGUCAUCGUCAUCAGUGGUCGUGACAUCUUGAUGUGGUGAAAAUGAGCUUUUAUUUUCCAUAUUGAUCCCGUCUACACUGUUGGCAUUUUCCUCAGCAGAUUGUUGAAGCUGCAAUGCAAAUUCAAGGCCCCAAACGACAUCACCCAUUUUAGGGCGUUCAAUUCCUGAAACAUGUAAGCAACUGUUAGCAAUCUCUGCCAACUUAUUUAAAGAGACAGGGGAAACCUCGCCCUUUAAAUGUGGAUCCACGAUCUGAUCAAGGGUUCCUCUUUGGUAACACUUUCUUGCCCAGUCAGCUAAGCUUGCUUGAUCUUUCGGUGAACUUGGAAUCACUGGUGGCCUUGCACAUAGCACCUCAAACAAAACCACACCGAAUGAAUAAACAUCAGAUUUCUCUGUCAGGUGUUGCCUACGGUAGUACUCUGGAUCCACAUAUCCAAUGCUACCUCUAACUACAGUGCUAACAUGGGUUUGGGAUGUACUAGUGGGACCCAAUCUGGACAGCCCAAAAUCUGAAACCUUAGCCACCCAAUUCUCAUCUAACAAUAUGUUUGUUGACUUCACAUCACGGUGAAUGACUGUGUGCUUUGCUCCUGAAUGAAGAUAAUGCAACCCUUUAGCAGCACCGAUGCAUAUUUCUAGCCUUUGCUUCCAUGGAAGAGGAGAGUUCUUUGUUUUGUAUAGAUGUUCUCUAAGAGUGCCUCUUGACAUGUAAUCGUAUACAAGAAUCAUCUCGCCAUGAUCAUCACAGUAUCCAAUCAGCGACACUAGAUGGAGGUGGCGCAGAUUGGAUAACAUCUCAAUCUCUGUCUGGAACUCACGUGUCCCUUGCUUUGAUGAUGAAUCUAGUCGUUUGAUGGCUACUGCACCGUAUUCAAUGUAUCCUUUAUACACAGUACCAAAUCCCCCUGAACCAAUAAUAUUUUGAUCAUCAAAGUGUCCUGUUGCUUCGUUGAUUUCGAAAAAUGUAAACCGUCGGCAAAGAUCAGUAGGGAGUGAUGAAGAGAUUGUAGUCGUGGACCUAGAUGUUUGUGAUAUUAGAGUCCAGGAGGAUUUUUCCUCACUCUUGCUAGGGUCCUUGACUCGCUUCUGCUUGAAAGCAAAGAAAUAAAGAAUAAGAGAGCAAGCAAACACUGCACCUAUGGAACCUCCAACGAUGGCUAUAACCGUAAGUAUUGAUGAUCUUUUGCCCGUUCUUCUGUCUUGUAGACUUGGAUGUUGUUCUGCUGGUGGAGGAGCCACUGUUGGCUCAGGGUUGGAUCCUGCAAGAUUUCCGUCUGUUGUAUUCAGCUUGAAUAUUUCCAAGCCAUUCAAGAUUGCAUCAGCAUAAGUAGGUUUCAGUUCCAUGUUAGGGUGUAGUUGGAGCCACAAGUUCCUGCUUGCUCUGGCUACCUUGAGGGACCAGCACGAUGUAGUCUUUGUAAACUGGAAUGCCGUUGCCACCGCUCAUAUGGAUCACAUCUGCAUCAUGCUCCGCUAUUUGAUUGUUGAUGAAUAUUAAAAAUACCUGUUGAUUUACACUUUUGAACUCCUUUCGAGUCUCACAAAAGUGGAGUCUAAGGAGGUAAUUGAAACCAACAUCAACUGAGAAGAUCCAUGUGAGAUUGUAAUUCAUGUUAAGAAGUGGUUCAGGACCCAUAGAACGCAUAGUACUAUAUACCAUAACAGGUGCGGAGUAAGCUGGCGUUUUGGUUGUGUACUCUAUCUUGACGCCUGAGUGAUAUGGAGUGGUUCCAGCUUUUCCAAAGAGAUACCCUGAAUCUUGAUGCCAUGUCCUGUACAUUCCAGUCUUGUCUCCAGUGCUGCUGAUAUCUUGCCCCCCAACAUUCAGUCGAUAAACUGUCUCAAGCGCAGUUGUGUUACCCAGAUAGAAGGGGGCGGUGCCCACAUAGGUCGGUGGAUUAUCAUCGCCACGAGCAUAGAAGCUGUCUGGCAUGGAAACGAUUUCGAUACCAUUAACGAAGGCAAAAGAUGCUGGAGACGGAUUGAAGGUUAAUUCAAGCUUCUGGUUGUCCCACACGGUGAUGAUGAACUCUUUGGUGAAGGAGUCAACUGGAGGUCUUAUAGCAGAAACUGUAAGAGAGGCACUAAAGUUGUUUAGUAGCUGGUAGGUAUUGGCACUAAGCGAAAAAUAGGAUUUGGAUAUAUCAAGAUUUGAGUAAGAAGAUGGAUAAAAGUAGAGACGCACAAAUUUUGGGCCAGGCAAGACUAGAAAUGUGUAAGUGAAUUUAGAGUGAAAAAUACGGGCUGUCUUGUAUGGGACUUGGUCGACAGAGGGGGUCUUGAGUGGAGGCUUCAAACACAGAUGAGGCUUCUGGGGGAUUAGAGGCAGCAAACUUCGGCUGGGAAUCACCAUCCCAACUGCGACCAUCUGGAGAUGACAAAUUAGAGGAUGCACCACAGUUAAGGAGUAUUAGAUCAGUGGGGCUGU
Molecule: long non-coding RNA, 82073 nt
Filed under: Populus tremula
Lineage: Eukaryota; Viridiplantae; Streptophyta; Magnoliopsida; Malpighiales; Salicaceae
Description: long non-coding RNA (PTRE_LNC001350)
Source: RNAcentral